CUUUUUUUUUUGUAAAGACUAAAAAACCAUUUCUCCCGACCAAAAUGAAGAGAGUAUUUGUUUUAAAAGUUUUUCUCCGGUGCACCAAAAACUUGUUAAAGAUAAACUAAUUUUGAAAGGCCAAAAAGCUAUUGUAUAAACUAUUUUUCUAAAGCUAUAAAAAUGUUAAGAAGUCCAAAAAUCAAUGAGUUUAGUCAAUAGAUGAGUAUUUAUUUACUCAUUAUCAACUAAUACGUACUAGAUAAAAUAAAAUAAAGAAAUAGAGUAUAUAAAAGUAGCUCUUGAAUAUCUAGAGAGUCGUUUAUUCCCCUUUGUAACUUGGACACAACAAAAGACAGAGUUUCCUUUGGAUAUCAUUCUCAAUUCAUACCAACUCCCAUCUAACCAAAUGUACACUCCUAUCUAAUUCCGUCAUUAAAAUGGACAUGUUGCAAGGAUGACAAAUGUGGUAAUAAUGACACAUAAAUAUUUUUAAAUAAUUCAGCUCUUUGUCACAAUAUUGGACCUAGUAAAAGAUAAACACGAAAAUUUAAAAUUUAAAUUCCAAGGCCAGGUUUAUCCUUUUUUAAAAAAGAAAAUAAUAAUAUUUUUUGGAAAAUGGAUUUAAUAAUGAAAUGGUUUAGUCACAAAUUAAGAUGUAAUAAUUCAUUAUAAUUAACUGAUAGUAAAUCUUAUGUCAAACUAACAGGAUUGAGCAUUAAUAAAAACGAAUAUCUAAACCGAUUUGACAAGAAAUAAAUACUAGUCGUAUUUACCAUGAUAAUGAGGUAAUUAGUGAAUACUUCUCCAUUUUAUUUUACUUAACUAUUAUAUUUAAAAUAAAAUUUUAUUUUUAUUACUUGUCAUUUUAACAAAUAAUAAAAUAUUUUUACCAUUAUUAUGCUUAUCACUAAAAUAUUAAUUAGUGUCGAACAUGAAUCAUCAAUAUAAAAGGAAACACACAUGGAGUAUAUGAUUAAUUAGGAAACUUUAUCCACUUGUAACAUUUCGUUUUAUGAAAAUCAAAUUAUAAAGUUUAAUCAACACUUUAAAAUAUAAAUUUUUAUUUUAUUAAUAUGAGAUUUUUUAAAAAUAAAUUAAUUAGGUGGUGGAUAGGGAAUAAGUCAAAGUACCGGCGUAGAAGGGAAGUAAAUAGCUUUUUAUUAAGAAAAUAAAAAAAAAGUAGUCCGUAAAAGAAGUGAAUGUGGUGAGUGGAGUGAAGAACAUAACCAUGUGGGCAGGAGAAGACAAAGACAAUUUAUCGUCAAUUGCGGCGCCCAUUGGAUGUACAAUCUAGAAUUCUGUGUAGGGGUAAUUUCGUCUUUCUCAUCCUACUUUCCUUAUACUCUGGUUCACGUCCUUAACCAUGCUUCAUUUUGGUACUCCCUCCGUUUAAAAAAGUAAUGGCUUAAUUUGACUUGGAACGAGGUUUAAAAAUAAAAAUAAAAAAUUUAAUUUUGUGAUUUUAAAUUAAAGUUAUGUCAAAUGUACUAAAAUGUCAUUUAAUCUUGUGGUCUUAAACAUGUCACUUGGAAAGUUGAAGUUAAAGUAUUGCCAAAAAAAUAAAGGGAUUAUUCUUUUUAAAACAAACUAAAAAGGAAACUAUACCAUUCUUUUUUUAAAAAAGGAAUAUUUCAUGGAUGAUAUUUCCUUCAUUCUUUUUUUCUUCUAAUAUAUUAGAGAAGAGUGAAUAUUUAGUGACUUUUGAGUUAAAAUUGAAAGUUGAGUGUGCAUAGUUGAAUGACUUUUGAGUUAAAAUUGAAAGUUGAGUGACUUUCUGAGAGAAGAGUGCAUAGUUGAAAGAUCAUCUGAGAUACUAACUCUUUUUUCUUUUACGAUUGACUUUCAAUUUAUAUAAUCUUUGAAUAAUUUUUCUUUCAUGAGUUAAUUUUCAAAUUUGAGUUAAAUUCAAAAUUUAUUCCAAUUUGAAAUCUAGAUCCACACUUAAAUUGAAUCUGAGUGUGAAAAAUGGUGUUAGAAUAAAUUAAAGUUUUACAUUAAUUGAGAAAUGAAUUACCAAUAUUUGAAGCUUAACUAACUCACUCCAGUACAUAUUGGUGAAAAUUAUUACUUAGUUUUUUCUCGCACCCAACACCAAACAAUAUAUUCAUUAGAACUCAAUUAGAUGAUUGAAGCCUGAUAAGGCCAAAAAUGAAAGUAGUCAAAGAAAGCGGUAAACAUGUUUAUUUUAUCUAACUUUUUUAUAUAAAUUUGGACAAUUUUUCCUUCCUAAAUCAGUUUUUAAGGUAAAAUUAAGUUAAAUGUCAUAUCUUACACCAUGCACAACUACAAGUAGAUAAAUUUUGUCUUUUCAUACACUAUAUCACUUAAUUAUAAUUGAUUAAUGUGUAUUUUAUCUCAAUCAUCAAUUAAUCAUGAAUUUCAACUUUAAUUUAACUUUUGAUUGGUUCAAAUUUUCUUUCAUUUCAAAUGACAACAAUUUUAAAGAACUUUAUCCAGUAUAGAAAAAGAGUGAUGAUUAUACUUAACCAUGGUUAUUUUUCUUAUUGAUGGUUUAUUUCAAUUCUCUUCCCAAAGGUGAAAUGAAGAACAUGAUUAAACCAAUAAUGUGAUGAUUUAUAAUUUUGUAAUCAUUAAUCAAAAGUGUCAAGUUCGAUAUUCUUUUGUUGAUAGCAUUACUUCUAAAAAUGAACAAUAUAAUGCAUAAAUUUAAUUUAGUUGAGUCUAUAAUGCAGAUAUCGAAUUAAAAAACCCAAAAAGAAGAAAAAGAAGAGAACUUGAUUAACUAUGGGUUAUGGGACUUUUUGGAGAUACUCGCAUGGGUUCACAUGAUCCUCCCAAGUUGCGUGAGAAUGAAGCUAUAUAAUGUGGGCCCCAUUAUUCCCUCAUUUGUGAUGGGAAAGUAAGUGGGUCCCUUUGAUUAUCCAAUCCGACGUCGUUUCUUACGUGGAUAGCACUUCCUUGCCAUUAGCUGCUGUUAUUUAUUCCCAUCUAUUCAAAAACGAAAAAGAAAAAUGCAUUUAUUUACACGCAGAUAAUGCCAAUUAUUUUCUUCUCUUUUUUCCCCUUAUGCUUCUCUUCCUUUGAACGUAACACAUAUUUCUCGAAAAAUAAAAAUAAAACGUUUAUGUCAGUCACUUUUAUAACAAGAAGUAUCUCAAUUCUAUAUAACAAAAUUAAGGGAUAUAUCUGGCACGGACGGAGCCAUAGUAUAUAAAUAUCAAAUUCCCUUUGAUUAUUCGUCUAUAUUUAUUUUCAACUUUCUUAUUAAAAUUUCUAACUCCGUCGUUGAUAUCAGAUCAUUUUCUCUAAAUAUAUAUAUAUAUAUAUAUAUAUAUAUANNNNNNNNNNNNNNNNNNNNNNNNNNNNNNNNNNNNNNNNNNNNNNNNNNNNNNNNNNNNNNNNNNNNNNNNNNNNNNNNNNNNNNNNNNNNNNNNNNNNNNNNNNNNNNNNNNNNNNNNNNNNNNNNNNNNNNNNNNNNNNNNNNNNNNNNNNNNNNNNNNNNNNNNNNNNNNNNNNNNNNNNNNNNNNNNNNNNNNNNNNNNNAAAUAUAUAUAUAUAUAUAUAUAUUUGAUAGAGUAACAAGUACAGAUAUAAAAUGAAAUUGGGGAGUAAUUUCUUGAACUACUUAUUUAUGCAAUUUACGACUUCCUAUAUAAAUGUGAAUUUGAUAAAGAGAAUAUGAUUCUUACGGUGAACAGAAGUAAUUAUAAAAAAAUAGGUGUAUUAUAUUAUGGGAAUUAAACAGCAGCUAAUAUUGCUUGAUGAUGUAACUUAUUCUUCACUUAGAGGUCGUUUGGUAGAGUGUAUUAGGAAAAAUAACGCAUGCAUUAGCAUUGUGUAUUAUUAAUACCUUGUUUGGUACUCUUUUCCAACCUAUGUAUAACUAAUGUUUGCAUUAGUUAUACACUCUAUUGUGUAUUAAGGUGUGUAUUGCUAAUACCAUGAAUUUCUAGGUAUUAGCAAUGCAAUGGCUUUAAUGCAUGCAUUAGAUUAACUAAUGACAAAACUACCCUCUAAUAAUAAUAAUAAUAAUAAAUAAUAAAUAAUAAUAAUCAUCAUCAUCAUCAUAAUAAUAAUAAUAAAUAAUAAAUAAUAAUAAUAAUCAUAAUAAUAAUAAUAAACAUAAUAAUAAUAAUAAUAAUAAUAAAAAUAAAUAAUAAUAAAUCAUAAUAAUAAUAAUAAAUAAUAAUAAUCAUCAUAAUAAUAAUAAUAAUAAUAAUAAAAAUAAAUAAUAAUAAAUCAUAAUAAUAAUAAUAAAUAAUAAUAAUCAUCAUAAUAAUAAUAAUAAUAAAUAAAAUAUUAAUAAUAAUAAUAAGAAAGUGCACAGAAUAAAAGAAUGUGGGGGUAUUUUGUAAACAAAUAUUUUUUUAAUAGUCUUUAUACAAGGCUUGCUAUUUCCAAUACAUAAAACCAAACAAUGUAUAAGAAAUAAUGCAAGCAUAACUAAUGCAAGCAUUACUAAUGCAUGCAUUACUAAUACAUCAUAUUCAGCAUUAUUCUUAUACACUCUACCAAACGACCCCUUACUGUAUUAUUAUUUUUAUUUUUAUAUUUUUUUCCAUUAUUCUGGAUCCGAAAAUACCAUAGAGUUGAUUCUAAAAAUACAGGCAAACGCCGGAAGCAAUUUUAAGAUUUUUUUUUAUACCAAUAUAUAAUAUCAAUAAUUAUAUGAAUAAUGAUUUAAAACACAAUGGCGUAAAGUAAUGUGCUUUCCUGUAAGUCAAUCCGGAGGCACUGAACGAAGUUUCAAACAUUUUUACUUUCAAAAAAUAGAAGAACACAUAGACAAUUUUACAAAAAAAACAAUAAAUUAUAUAGAAUACAAAAGAAUAAAAAUAUACUCCAAUGAGGUAGAAAAUCUACAAAGUUGAUUCAAAGCAUAAGAUAUGUGAAUAAUAAUAUUCUACAGCAAUUAAUAAAAACCUAAUUAAAUGAAGACCUUAUAUUACAUAUACAUAAGUUUGAAUCAUUUACAUAAAAGAAAUGUUUUUUUUAAGGCUUACAAAAUGUAUAAUUCAAAGCUAAAUCGUGCAAUGUAUCAGGUACACAGCACCUCCUUAGAAGUAACUGUCCAUGUUUAUUUGGCACACUUGUUGAGAAAUUAUCAUAUCACCCCUAAUUAUAUUAUAUCUAAAUAUUGGAAAAUAAAUAAUAUUCGCUCCGUAUAUUUUUAUUUAUUCAGUAUUGACUUGACAUAUCUGUCAAAAAGUAAUAAAUAAAAUGUUAUUCACCUUUUACGUUAUGAAUAUAAUAAAUAUUUUCUUAAGCCACCUCAGUGGUGGGGGUUAGGCAGACCCCUACCUGUUCAUUACAACUGUAUACUCUAUUUCUCUUGAUUAUUUUAUGAAUAAUUUUCAAUUGAUAGAGUAUGUGAUAAGUGCGUUUGGUUAAUGCAGAUGUUGAAAGCUGUACCAAGGUUUGACUAUUUAGACAACUAUAUUAAUGGCACAUACUGUGCAGCUUUGAUUAAUUCAAUGAAUACGUACUAUGCACAUUGUGAAGUACACCACUUGAGGCUUACUUAGUGAAGGCUUACUUAGCACAUUAUUUUCUUUCUACACAUUUGAGAGAUGCUCAACAAAUUAGUAUAUGUUUCAAGAACAUAAUACAUGUUUGUUUAUUGCAUCCGAUUGUGAUUUUUCCACUUUACCAAUUUCACCUUUCUUCUCAUGCGAUUGAAAAUCAAUCGUAGAUAAUUCUAUAAUUAUAAUAUUAUAGAUUAUAUUUUAGGUAAUAUCCUAAAUUAAAUACAUAAAUUUUAAUUUCAAAUCUUAUACUGAAAUAACUCAGACCUUAGUGAUGCCAAAAUUGGUAAACCUAUGAUUAAGAUUAAUAAUCCAAAGCAUUUCUCGGUGCUUUGACCUUCUUUUUCAUCUUAUAGGAGUUGCACUUUGAUCCACUUAAUAAUCACCUAAUAUUAAAUCUUUUCUUUCUUUUAUUUUGCCACUCCAUAUUCAUCCAUAACCUCUGAUUGGCUUUUUAAAGAACAAUUAUUUGCAUUAUUGACGCUUUUAUGGGGCAUUAAGAAAUAUAAUUGCCAGCAUGACUCAUUAUUCUGACCAAAUUAUUUUGGUUGACUUUCUUUAAUGUUAACCCUAAAUGUUUUUGUAUUAUAUUGACCUCAAAGAAUUUUUGCAACAGCUUAAUCACUAAAUUAAAUCGUCAAUUUGUGUCAAGAAGUCAAUACUUGUAUAUGUAUAUUUAUUAAACAAAAAUUUGACCUCAAUAUACAAUAUAAUUUUCCGGUGAAGCCGCAAAGGGGAGUCGCUUGCACACCGCUCCACCCCUGCGUGCCAUCAUACUAGUUGACCUUUAUAUGAACAUAAACAUGCACGUUUAUUAUUUUAAUUUUUGUGUUCGUUAGUGAUCAUAUAUAUAUACAGAUAUAUAUUGGACAUUUCAUAUUUUAUAAAGAUAAUAAGAGCACUAAUUAAAUUAAACUAAACUUUAUGAUGUUAGUAGCAUAGAAGUUGACAAAAGUGGAUGCCAACACAAACAAAUUAAGACUUUUAAAGCUUAUCAAGAAAAUAAAUUGGCUUUGAGAGAAGUUGAAGUGUGCCACUACUCAAAAAAAAGAAUUUUCAAAACGUUUAAUUAAUAAAUUAGAACUCCCAAGUCCUAAUCGUUAUGGCUAACGGAUAGACUUUCACUAUGUAUAAUAAUUGCAAAGAAAUAAAAGAGUUAAUUGAUGCAUGUAAAUAUGACAUGUGUCAAUUUUAAUAAUGCAAUUUAACCAAUCUAAAAUAGUGGACAUAACAUCUUGAUUACUAUUUGAAUUUUGAACUCAACGAGACCACGACUGUUUUGUAGUGUACAUUAAUUAUGUCCAAAUUUCAUUUACUAUUCCAAUUGUAAGCUUUCAAAUUCAAUACAUAGUUAUAUAUAUGUAUAAACUUAUAAUAAUAACUUCAUCACUCUUUGGAUGCGAUCCUUUUCUGAAUCAUGCAUGAAUGUGAAAUGUUUUGUGCACCUAAUUGUCACAUAUAGAGUUCUAUCAGUAUCAGUAACGUCAAAUUUAAGCGUAAAAUAUAUACUAAUUUGGGAGUAAUUAAUAAUAUAACAAAAUUUAUACUAAUCUAGUCUCAGUUUUCUUGGAAUCGUUCAAUCUCCAACUACAAAUCAAGCUUGUACAUGUCUAUCGGUAAACCACAUGAUUAGAAAAAUAUUACAAUAAACAAUUAUUGCUUCAAAUCUACAUUAAUUAGUUCAUUUGACCUUAAAAAAAGGAAAAAAGAAAGAAAGAGAGAGAAGCACAAAACACUUCCAUUAUUGCUUUUAAAAUUAGCAAAAGCAAUAACAAAGUCAGACAUAAAGGUCAGCACCCAUGAAUAGUUAAUGGGACAAGGGUUUGAAAAAUAUUUCAACUUUGGUCCGAUUUGCUGUUGCGAUACUAAACUUUCAUAAGGACCUAUUACCUUUCUAGACUAUUUAAUACCGUAUUUUUUACCCCAUGAACUAUUUAAUAGUGUAUUUUAAAGGUAUAUAUGUGUCCACGUGGACACAUUACUAUUUAUAAUUUUGCAUUAUUUUUUAUGUCCACGUGGGCAAAUAUAUAUGUUUAAAAUACGGUAUUAAAUAGUCUAGGGAGGUAAUAGGUCCUUCUGAAAGUUUAGUAUCGCAACANNNNNNNNNNNNNNNNNNNNNNNNNNNNNNNNNNNNNNNNNNNNNNNNNNNNNNNNNNNNNNNNNNNNNNNNNNNNNNNNNNNNNNNNNNNNNNNNNNNNNNNNNNNNNNNNNNNNNNNNNNNNNNNNNNNNNNNNNNNNNNNNNNNNNNNNNNNNNNNNNNNNNNNNNNNNNNNNNNNNNNNNNNNNNNNNNNNNNNNNNNNNNNNNNNNNNNNNNNNNNNNNNNNNNNNNNNNNNNNNNNNNNNNNNNNNNNNNNNNNNNNNNNNNNNNNNNNNNNNNNNNNNNNNNNNNNNNNNNNNNNNNNNNNNNNNNNNNNNNNNNNNNNNNNNNNNNNNNNNNNNNNNNNNNNNNNNNNNNUUAUGAAAGUUUAGUAUCGCAACAGCAAAUCCGACCAAAGUUGGGGUAUUUUUCAGACCCUUAUCCCUAGAUUAAUAUAACAAUCUUUUAGAAUAAUAUUUAUUUUAUUUAUAUAUCAAACACACACAAAAUAAAAAUAAAAAUAAUUCUAAAAACACAUUUCUCUUCCUACCAAACACCCCCUUAGAUCCAGCUAGUUUUCCUCCAUAUAUAGUGCCUUAGAUGACUCGAUAUCCUUUAAAUAAGACCUCCAAAGUCAACCCUUCACUCUUUCUACCAAAAUUAAAUAUAUAUAGGAAGGAGUCAACCCUACCCUAUAUUGAGAAUAUCACAACUCAAGCUUUUAGAUGAGAUAGUUACACACUUCAACAUGAUAUUAGAGCAUACAAAGGUCCUGAGAUUGAAUCUCACCGUCAUCCAUACAAAAAGAAUUUUCACAUGUUAGGCUCAUAAAAAUAAAUCAGGCUCACACGUGAAGGAGGAGGAGAUGGUCACACACUUCAACACCCUACCCCCACCCCCCACACAAAAAAAAACAAGGAAAAAAAAUGAGAAAGAAGAAGAUGUAAAACUUUUGGUGAGAUUUGAACUAGACAUUUUCUAUCUUGCUUGGAUGUACAUAUUAGAAGGGAUCAAUUAUUUAGUACUUCCCUUUAAUUUACAUUGGUCAGGCAAGCUUAUUUAAGAAAAAAUAAAUUCUCAUUUUGUGCAUUCUGUGAAAAUUCAUGAUCUACAGUUAUAGGUAAAAGUUGUCAACCUAAGACCAUCAUAGUCCAAUCUUUUAACUCAAUGUGGAUUAGAAAAUUGUGAAUUCAUACAUAAUUAAAUUGAUAUUGGGUUAAUUCACUCAUACUAAACUUUUUUUCACUAUAACAAUAAAGUUACCAAACUAUAUAUAUGUUUAUAUGUUACAUAAACAUAUAUAACUAACUAGUUCUUAAUUUUCUGACUAAAAAGUAAGGUCAAGAAAACUAUUUUUGUCAGAUUAAAAUAACUUGACUUCACCACUAUCAUAUUAAAGUUGAAAAUUUGGAUUAUUUUAUCCAUUGAUGAAUAUACAAUUGCAAACAAAAUAUUUUUUUCAGAAAAAAGAAGAAGAAGAAGAUGAUAAUACUUUGUCAAUUACACCGAUCAAGUUAUCUUGAUAGAUAGAUUUUGUCAUUAUAAUUGAUAAAGUUGAGUGACUUAACUAUUUUAUUUUAUUUAUAAUGAAUAAAGUAUAGUUACUGUAAAUGUGAAACAAAAUAGUUUUAUGGCUUUAUCAUUAUAGUGAGUAUAAUUGUUGUUGUAGGUAAGUUCUGUUAAUACGUGAUAUGUGCCAAGAAAGUUGUUUAAUUAACUAUACUAUCAUGUUGAAUAAAGUUCAAUAAACAUAUAUGAAAGUAGGGGUGUAUAGGCCAGGUUAGUUGAUUUUUUUUAAAUAUCACACUAAAUCAAUUAUGUUAGGUUUUAAAAUUUAUAAACCAAAUUAAUAAAGUCGGAUUUUUCAAUUUUGGAUUUUUAAACUUUUUUCCGUAAAAUCUUAAAUAAACAUAUAAUUAACUUGUAUACAAUUAUCUUAGGCUUUUUUAUAAAGAAAAAUAACAUAAAACGGGAGACGAGUUAUGACAAAAAAAAUAUAAUAAAAUGACAUAAACUAAGUUAUACUGAAAAUCAUCAUAAUCUAAAAGUAUUAAAACAUGUUGAAAUUAAUCAGUAUGAAUAAUAAGUAUUAAUUACAUGACUAAGGCCUUAUUUGUUUUCAUUAAGAUUAAGACCUCUGAAUCUAAAUACACGUCUGAACAUUAAGAUUUGCAUUAAGAGCUAGGUGUCUAGAUUUGAAUACACUUCUGAAUAUUAAGAUGUGGUCUCCAAAUCUGAACACUGAAUGAUUAUUGUUUGUUUUCAAUAGCUGAAUGUGCAUAUGAAAUCAAACAUUAUAUUAAUAAAGUAUUAUAAAAAAUUCAUUUCAACAAAAAAUAUUAAUUUUUUAUUAAAAAACUAUCAUAAUCAUCAAGCAAAAAAAUCACAAAUAAAAAAUAUUUUAUAGGCACAAUAUAAUAUCAAAAAGUUCAAUAAGUAUGAUAAAUACUAGUUGAAAAAUAAUAAAUAACGUAUCACAUUAUCAGCGCCUAACAUAUAUUUUGGCUAAUUAGAAAAACUAAAAAAUUCAUAUUUUUUUUCGAUAACCUUAAUCCAAUUCUCUAAGUUGUGAACCUCUAACGUCAUUUUUGUAGUGGACACCUUCACAAAAUAUAUUGACACAUGUAUUGUAUAAUGACUCUUCCCAUCCAAGUCCAUCUAAUUUUUUCAUAUAUUCUUCAAAUGUAGGUACACUAUUUUUUUAAUCAUCUUCUCAUCAAUUUCCAAUUCAGACGAAUACGUUUUUUUUUCUUUUCCAAAACUUUUUUCCAGUUGAAACUGAAGAUUGGGAUGGAGAAUUAUUAAGAGCUCCAUUAUUUUGGUCACCAACUAGUUCAACAACAAUAAUAUAUUAGUGUUAUCUCACAAACGGAUUUGAUGAUCAAAGAGUCUUAAUAAAAUUAUUGGCCUAAGACAAAAUUCUAAUAAGAGACCUCAAAUAUGUAUACAUAGUUAUUAUUUUUUAAUUAUGAAUAGCAUUUGUUUCACUCAAAAACCUUGAUGAACAUCAAUACACUAAAAAUAUUAUUGCAACUAGUGUUCUUGACAAACAUCAAUACACCCUAAGAAAAUUAUUAAUAUAAAAAAAAUACUUGUAAAGACUAUUGAAACUUAAUAGUUCAAGAGGAAAAAAAUAGUGUUUGAUUGAGAAAAGAGAAGAAGAAAGUUUGUAGUUGUAAGAGCAAAGUCACGCAAAGACUGAGAGAGGCGAUUCAAUAUUAUUUUAUAACUUAUUAAAUAAGUUUGAAUGGUGUUAAGACUCUCUUGCAGAUCUAAUCCGUUCAGACCUUUUUAGGGUCCAUUAAGAGGCCUUUUGAAAAAAGAAACAAAUAGACUUAAUGGACUGAAUCUGAAUCAUUCAAAUUCAGACCUAAAAACCAAACACACUUAAUGAACUGAAUCUGAAUGAUUAAGAUUCAGACCUCCAUUAAGUGCAAACAAAUGAGGCCUAAAUAUUAAAGGGAAAAAAUUAAGCUAUGUAUUUUAGUUAUCUAAAUCAAUGGAAAAUUAAAGAAAGAGAUAUUGAGCAGUAUUGUUAUUCCUAAUGUAAAUUGAAUUUCUUUUGUUAGCAUUGGUAUCGAUUAGGUUUUGGUUUGGACUCUAUUUGAAUUACUAGCAUUUAUGGUCUACAAAACAUACUAGACCAUUCAUGAAAUUCUAAAUCCAAACGUUAAAUUUGGUGAAAUUCGAAUACAUCCCAAAAUGUCCCAAUAUAUCGUGUGCAUCCCGAUUUCGAAUACGUCGUUCAACGUCUCAAUACAUCCCGUCUCGGUUUCGGAUACAUCACUCAAUGUUCCGAUACAUCGAAUACGUCCUGAUACAUCACGUACGUACAAUAAUGUAUUCCACCGAUAUUGUGUAAAGUGAUGUAUCCGAGAGUAGAAUUUUUUAUAAUUUUUUCAAAAUGAUAGGAAUUUUUAGAGAAUAUGAUAAAGUAAGUUGUGUAUUUAGAUAAUUUUUCCUUUAAAAAAUUCUAAAAUAUUUAUAAAUUAAAUUAUAAUAAUUUUUACUAGCAUAAUAAAUUAUGAUCGAAUUCUUUUUUUUCAAUAUCAAACCAAAUCAAAUCAAUAGUCAAUUUUUUUUUCUCAAUUAGACUAGAAUUUUCAAUUUAUGAAUUUUCUUUGUACACCCACAAAGACAUUUAAGAAAUGAUAUGUUUCAACUUUGAAGACAAGUACUCUUCAAAAAAAAAAAGUACUCUUCAAAAAUACCCUAGCAUUUAUCAUUUAUCAGUAUGAAAAUUACUCCCUCCGUCCCAUUUUAUAUGAUGUACUUUGAUUUGGCACAAACUUUAAGAAAAAUGGAAAGACUUUUAAAACUUGUGGUCCAAAAUGAAUGAUAGAAAUUUGUGUGGUUGUAAAUCAUUUCAUUAAGGGUAAAAAAGACAUUUCAUAGGCAAAUUGUUACUUAAAAUAGAAAUGUGUCAUUCUUUUUGGGACUGACUAAAAAGGAAAGUGAGUCAUAUAAAUUGGGACAGAGGGAGUAAUUAAUUACUGUAAGCUAAAAAUUUGUACGUCCUAAUAUGAAAAGCAUCACCAAAAAGGUUUAUGCCAUGCAUGUUAUCGUGUAACAAUUGCAGUUUGCUCUUUGCUUAGUAGUUGCCAUUAUCAAAUCUAGUUGAGUGAGAUAAUCACACAAAUCAUAUUCAUCCUUAUGUUGUCACAUCAAAGUCAAUUUUCAUAAACAAUACUCAUCAAGAAACUUAUUAAGACCUAAAUUGCAAAAGGACAACAAACCACUUGCAUGUAUUUCAUUAAUUAACUUUGAAAUUUAUCACCUCAAUAAUUCACAUUGUACAAGUUGAUUUCACCUCUUCCACUAUAAUAUCUCCAUCAUUGUCAUAUCAUCUUGAGAAAAAGUGUAUAUAAUUAUAUGGGACAAGAAUGAAGAUGUUUCUCUUGUUCAAUAUAUGUGCAACAUAAAUUUUAGAGGAAAGAACUCCAUUUUAACAAAAUCAAAAAAAGAAAAACAUUCAAAUUUGCUGAUAAACUUUGAUGAAAUGGUUCAAAUUUGUCCUCAAUAUAUAUUGAGAUCAAAUUGUAAUGAUUCGUAUGAUCGUUUUAUGCUUUAGACUUAUUUCUUCAGUGAUCCUUUCUAUAAAUUUCUUUUGUUAUUUCUGAUUUGUGAAAAUGAGUGACAGAAUUUUGAGGUUAUCGAAUGUGUUACGAAGAACAUUUUCAAUUUUGAAAGUCAGAAAUUCAGAAAGUUUGACCAAAGUUGAAAUUUUGGAUUAACAAGGUCAGCAUUUAAUGCAUGCCUAGGGCUAGACAUACUUAUUUUUUCUUUUCAAAUCCAUUAUUCAUAAUUCAAUUUUCGGAGCUAGAAUUUUGGUGAUUUCAAGCUUAAGGGGAUUUAAUAUUGAGUUUUACUUUUACAUCCGUUUUUACUAAUUUAUUAAAUGAACUUAAUAAGUUGAAAGGUUCUCCUAUAGGGUUUGGGGAGGUGUUAGAAUUUUUGAAUCGUGACACAAUAUACACAUACCUUUACAAGAUUGGUUUAAAUAUGUUCCUAUUGAUUAACAACAAUAACUUUUCAGUACCAUGGACUUUCAUUACUUAGUAAAAAGGUCAAUUAUGCCUUUAAACUAUGUUGGAUCAUCCAAAUUUGACCUUGAAUGUUGAAGAAAGGGAUCAUUGUUUUGAUGGGAACAACAUAAACUUCUUCAUCACUCAACACCUCAAAUGGCAAGGUCUCUAUAUCCCCAAAACUAAAAUUAACCACUCUCAAACCUCAAAUCAUUCGGAAUAAAACUCAAAUAAUCAACAAUUGCACCACAAAGUUUUCAUAUUUGUCGAAGCAACUCCGUCACCAUUCAUUAAUAGUGAUGCCAGAGUUCCACAUCAACCUCCUAAUAUCAAAGCAAACCUUCUAACAGACUAUCUAGUUUCUAAAUCAUUUGCAGUAAUAUUGUGGUGAUCAAAGAAGGGUUACAGCGGUUGAGGGCAGGCUGUGUUAGGACAAGUAAAAUAGUAAUAUGAAAAGAUGGUAAAUAAUGGGGUGAGAGAUAGUUUGAAUGGGAUAUUUCAUGUGUUCUUUGUGUCAUACGAAAAGAACUCAUGGUGGUCUUCAAAUAAUGCUGCUUUUGAGAGUUGAGAGGAUCAAUUAUAAUGAUGGUAAUUGAUUUGGAAAGAUGAUUGAUAAGGUUGAGAACAAAAAUCUGCACAAUUUCAUAAAAUUCAUAGGCAAAUCUGACCACUUCACAUAAUUCAAGGCAAAUUUGAUAGUUUUCCUUGUACAAAAGUCCUAUAUGUUGAAAAGCUUCCUCUGUUGGUACAUAAUGGCGUAUUUGAACCAAUCCUAUAACAAGGGUAUAUUUGGCCUCAACUACUAACAAAUGGCAAGUUUGAACAUUUUCCCUUCACAAAAUGAUCAAUCAGGUGUCAUUGGCUCAACAAUUCACUAUGGUAGCUUUGAAAGCAAUUGAUAUAUAGCCUCAAACUAUAAUAAAAACUGCAGUGAUGUAUGAUCACCAAGAAUGUUAGACCAUUUUCUAACUACUUUACAUCAACCGAACUGUUAAACAAGAUUUCACAAGUACAAUAGAUCAUGUUAAAACAUGAGCAACCAAAAAAACUUAUAGAAAAUGAACCUCAAACAGAAGAUUUGGAACCAUCUAGCAGUUCUCUGAGGUCCCAUUGGACGAAUCCAGUUCUGUCUUGCAUCUGUCUUUGAGGUCGGUCAGUGCAACUAAACUACCUUCCUGUAACAGAAAAAUGAAUACAUCAUCAGGUUCAUACUAACGCUGUUUAAUUGAGCUGGGAGGGGGUGGAGAGAGAAUUGGGGUUUGCAUGAGUGGGAAAGUGUUUGUGCAGAAAGUAAACAUGAUGCAACUAAGCAUCAUUUACAGAUUAAGUGCUUGCCUGAAGAGCAAGGUCAAUGUGGCAAGAUCAUGACCAACUACUCUAGUUUAACAUGGAGUAGCUUCCAUCAACUGAUAUUUGCAUUAACAAUGGUUCAAAGAAAUUAAAAAUCAGGAAUUAGACAAGGUUUUUAUUACUUCACUGCCAAAACAUGGCAUAUUGACAUGUCUUAAGCAUGCAUGUUUCUUUUGAGGGCAAGACCAAAUUGUUUAGGGCUAUGAAUAUAUACAAAUGAUGGAGCCAAAUAGCAAAAGAACAGAGAAUAAGAAACGGAACGGUGAAUCAAACAUUCAAUGGUGAAGUGAUACUCAUGUAUUAUAAAUGUGAUAUUUAUAUAACUUCUUUCAAAUUUUUUUCUUCUUUCAUUGAAUUCAUUAUAUCAAUGUAUCUAAGAAGCAUAAAUCAGGGUGGUGACUAAAAGAAAAUAAGUAACAAAACAUUAAUUGAAUGGACUUUCUAAUAUUCUCUCUAGUUGGCAGUUCACAAGUGCAACUACAUCUGUAAUCACUAUUUAUUGACAGAACAAAGUUUUCAGAGAAAUGGAAAGAACAUGAUCUCACAAACACUGAUAUGCUUAUUGAUGUUCUAACAAGUAAUCUCUGGCUACUGGUCCUGACAAACUCCACCAGGACAGUAAAUUAACAAAGAGACUGCUAUGAAUUACAACAUGGCUAAUAUGUCGGGUUGCAACUUGCAAGUAAUGUCAAUCCCCCAUUCCUCCGUGGGGGAUUGACAGAUUGGGAAUGUUCUAUUUUUCAGUAAAGAGGUAAAGAGACACUUACUGCUUCCUGUCUAUUAGUAACAAGACAACAUGAUUUUCAAAUUGAAUAUUGAACUUAGAUAAAACAUUUGCUCUGCACAUUUGUCAAAAUUUGAAGAUUACUUUUUGAGAAAGAAAAAAAAACCUCCAAACUUACGCAAAUGUUUGAAGAUUACUAAAAGAUAACAAUCUUCUAAUUUAUGAACCAUGUGCCCAUCAAAAGGCAAAACAUUUGCUCUGCCCAUUUGUCAAAGUUUGAAGAUUUACUUUUUGAGAAUGAAAAAAAAAUCUUCAAACUUUGGCGAAUACUUGAAGAUUACUAAAAGAUAGCAAUCUUCUAAUAUAUGAACAACGUUCCCAUCAAAAGGCAUACUGAUGGAACAAGUAUGUGUCCUCGACGUGAAUGAUCCAUCUAGUAUAAAAAUACAAUGCACCACACCAAAAGCUCUAACAAUGGGAGUUAACUUUGAUAAAGAAGAAUCUUUCAGCUUGAUGGUCAACAGAGAACAUUCAUCAGCUUGACAGCUUCACAACUCUCAGUUAUUAUAUGUAAAAGUUGAAUUGAGUAUCUAUACCAACUCAGAGACUGAACAGGUCAGUUAGCAAACUUACUAGCUGGUCAGCUUCCCGUUGAAAAAUGUGCUCCAUGUGUUGAAAGAGUGACUUCCAGUGACCCAUUAAACUUGACUCAAGAUUUGCUGCUUCAGUAUUCUUUUCUGGACCCUCCUUCUGAAGCUCUUUACCCUUGCCACUUCUUUCAACUAAAAGACUUGCUUCUCUCUGACUCUUCUUUAUGGCUAGGUAUUUGAAAACAGUAUUUGAGUAAAGAAAAGAAGCAAGGAGAAAAAGAACAAGGAUCUUAAGUUUAAUUAAGUAACUAAAAUAUUUUUAAGCUGACUCACCACUUAUCCGACCCUUGGUAUCCUGGUAAUGUAGGUCUAACCAUAUAUAAGCAGCUGAUUAUCACAGAACAAAGAAAACUAAAUCAACACUCCACUAAUAUGAACUGAAACAAGACGGGAUAUAAGCUCAGAAGGACAUUAAUCAAUAUAAUGGUCUGCGAGAUAUUUUUACCUUUGGUGCAAAAGGUACAAGAGCAAGCUUUGAUUGACUCAAUGCUAGCACUUAAACCUGAAUUAUCCUCACAAGUUUGUGUUCCUGUACAUGUCUCAAGUUUAACUCUUGACUCCUGUGAAUCUGGCAAUCUUGCCAAGUCUACUGACCCAGACUGACUCAUAACCAGAUUAUCAAGACCAAGUUCAUCGGGGCCAUUAGGAAACAUAUCCUCACUUUCAGUGCCCUCACUAUCGUCGUUAAUUUCACAACUCCGGGCAGCAUCAUGGUCAUCAGUUCCGGACAAUGCUGGCACUGGCACCCCAGUUACCAAACCAUCCAUAUCAUUUAUAACUUCAGAAUUUUUCUUUGGAAUUAUUUCCCGAUCAUUGACAAUUUCAAUAGCACUCCCACAAGCAUCAUUGUUCUCGUUGUUAUCUCCGAUUGUACUUUGGCAGAUAGCAGUAGCUGAAUCAACUCGCAACAAACUGGGAUCCUGGUUGUCAUUUGGUAUAUUUGAAAUCCCUGAUACAACAUCUACCUUUGAUGACUUAAUCUUGCUACAAGGCCGAGGACCAACACAAACACGUUUUGCAUUAUCUCCAUCAUCUACCAAAACAACUUUAACCCCUAGAUUUUCAUUUCCCUUAUCUACACACUUUAGACUUGAAUUCCCCAAAAGUGCAGAAAAUGGUCUCUUGUUUCCAAGCUGAUUCGUUAUAUUUCCCAAAACAGGACGACUUUUAGGACACCUUUCAACAGCAUUAUCUUCAUCCAUCCUGCAAUCACUAAUCCAACAUGAACCCUACCAACAAAAAUCAAUAUUUAGCCCUAAAACACAUAGAUUUCCAUGACCCAAUUCUCAAAUCUACUACAGUUGAUGAAAAAAUCUUAUAUUUGAUACAGACCAACAAUAAAAAUGAAAACUUGAUCACCUUAACACAUCUAAUCAAUACUAAUCACAGAAGCAGUAGCUACUGUACAAAUUAAAACCCUAGAGAAAAUUUGGGCAAAUAACAAAACUCAGAAGAAGAACAAAAUUAACAAACUUUAAUUGAAAUUAUAAUGUACCAAUCAUCAAUCAGGUUCUUGGAUACUAACCUUGAGAAAAGGAUUUAACACAAAAUCCAGAAAGAUUGAUAGAACCCAAUGUACAGUGUUGAAAUAAAAAAUUGAAUCUUGAAUUAUAUUAAAGCAUCUCCAUUGAUAAAGGUGGGUUCUUUUUCUCUUUGGUUACAGUGGAUUUGCUACACAGAAAUGAAAAUGGUGGAAGUAAAAAUUAAGUUUCAGCAAAUUUGUGGGGCGGGAAAUCGAAUUUUGGUAAAAUUAAGGGUCUUUAAGUUUUUGGCCCGCCUUGUAUGUUCAAAACCUAUUAACAAUGGGCGCGACUUUCUUACUUGGAGGGAAAAUGAUUGGGCCAUUAUUAUAGUAUAGCCCACAUUAUAUGGGCUGGAAAUUCAAUUGAAUCAUAUAGCUGAAUUCAUAGCAUAAAAUGGACCUAACUUACCACUAUUUGUUGAGAGUUCGGCAACAUGUAUUAUAUUAGGGCAAACUACAUCAAUCCCACUACAUUAGAUCCUAAUUGCUAUGAUUUUCGAUAGUUUCAAAUAUGAGUUUAUUUAUCAUAUUUCAUGCUUAGAAUACAUGACUCUGAAUCCACGAGAUACGUGUAUCUGUCAAAAUUUUAAACCGAGAUACAUAUUUUAUUUGUUUAAAUUAAUUGGUUGUAAUUGAUUUCCUUAAUUAGAGGAGUAAUUGAGGAUUUUCAUGAUACGUGAACAGUUAAUUCUGAAAAUUUAAAUUAAUCAAAUUUCUUAAUAUAAGGCGGAAAUCAAAGAGUGUAUCUAUGUUUAAUUAAUUUCAUUUUAUUAUUCUUUGAAAUAAUAAAUUCAUUAAUAGAACUGUUUAGUAUUAAUUUUGUGUAUUUGUUAUCUGUAUAUUGUAUUAAUUUGAUGUAUCUAGUAUCAAUUUCAUACGUUAUAUCCAAAAACAUGUAUCUCGAAUACACAGUAAGCAUAUACAUCUAAUUAUGUGUAUCUAUAUAUGAAAAAUAAUUGAAACACAUGAAUUUAGGAACAAAUCACAACUGCAAGUAUUUGUUGUAUCAUUAAUCCAAAAAAGGUAGAAAAAUUCAAAAUUCUUCCUUUUUUUUAGCAUCUGAAAUUGUUUUCUCAUAGAUGUAUAGUAUCAUAUGUUGCUCAUUGUGCUUAGAUCCGACGGACAUCCGUCAGAUCCAUCAAAAUUUCCACUUUUUCGUCCCUCCUACUAAUGAAGAUUUGAAGAAGGCCCUCAAGUAACGGAGAUAAAUUUGAGUCAACUGGAGAAGGGAACUGUUAGAGAGAAACCAUGACUAUAAUUUGGCAAGAAAAAAAUACAAAUAAACAACUAGGACAUAGCAUAAAUUUCCAUUAAAGUCAUCCUCUUUGCGGUAAAUUAUAUGAACUAUACUUGAUUCUUAGGAGUAAAAUGGUUGAUUAUUCGCUUAUUAGUGGAGGGAGAGAUGCUGAUAAGGUUGGAGAUUGAGGGAAGUUGAUAAGAGAGAAAAAUAUUUGAAUGUUAUUAAAAUGUUAAUUGUGGAAUUUAAAUAGAAAGAUAAUUAAUCAAUCCUUAUUUUAAGGGAUGAGUAUCUAAUUGUAUCUUCAAUAAUAUAAGGUAUAAAAUACUAAAAGUAGUAAUAUAUGUAAUUGUUUGAUAGUCGAUGUAAGAUUAGUAUAUAUGGUAGUGAUGUAUGUCUAAUAAGGUAGUUUAAUUUAUCCUUAUAUUACAGACUUAAUUGGCAUAAAAUAGUCUUACUUUGUAAUGUUUGCAUUAUAUAUUUAUAGAUAAACUACAUAAGUAGACAUACUUCAUUAUCAUAUAUUUUAUUAUUGACUAUUUUUUUUUAAAUAUUACGUGUCUUACCAUUAAUUAAGAGUUUCCUAUCAUACAUUGAGGAAUAUACAUUUAGAAACAUGUUUUUUGCUACCAGAUAUACUAAAAUAUGAAGGGAAGCGGGCAAGAUUUCGUUAUGUGUCCCAAAUAUAUGUGAAUCACAUUAGAUACAUAUAUUUAUAUGUAUCUGGUGUGAUUCGCAUGUAUCUGAGAUACCAUAUACAUAGAAGAGUGGUGAAGAGGGGCGAGGGAGAUGAGUGAAAUUUGUUAUAUACGCAAUGAUUUAUUAGUUUAAUCAUAUGAGUAUUAAUUAUGUAUAUCAAAAUACAUAAAUAUAUCGCACAAUAUUUACAAUGUAUUUGGUCAUAGUUGAAUAAUAUAAAUACAGUGAGAGACCUCUUUGAGGUGAAUUGUUGCACUUAUGUACUGAUAAAUUAUAUUUGAUUAGCUACAAUACAUUAUCUUGAUAUUUAAUUGUUAUACUGUUUAUUCUCUAAAAAACAUAUUAUAAUAAUAGUAAUAAGGUAUUGACAAUGUGUCUGGUGGCACACUUGUUAAUUGUUACUUGUCAUUUCAUUUGUAUACAAACUGUCAUAAGAUGAAAUAAAAAUAAACGUGUGUCCUAUUAAUUUUUAAGUACGUUUAAUACAACUUCAGGAAAAAAUAUUUUACUCAGUAUGAUUUUAAGGACUGAAUACAAUAUUGAAUAUAAUAUGCCAUUAUUCUUAGGCUAAAAUUGCUAAACAAAAUAUUGGGUAAAAAAUAUGUCAAUUUUACGUUAGUUCUUCAAAUUUUGAUUUUUCAGUAGUAUGUAUCAAUUUCUAAGUCUACUCCUUCAGUAUGCACCUAAUGAAAUGGGCUAUUUUUUUAAUUCAGAAUAAGUUAUUUUAAAUUUGUGUUUUAAAGUUUAAUCCAAAAUAGGCCUGAUUUCAUGCUUUUUGAAGUUUAAUCUUUUUAUCACCAAUGAAACUAAAUUGAGUGAUCAACUCUUUGAAAUUCUUUGUUGAUUAAGUCAAUUUUUUAUUUAUUAAAAUAAAAUUCAGUUUGCCAGUCUUUUAUACAAAAAAAAUAUUAAAUUGAAUGGUAAAUAAACCUUUACAAUCUGUGUAAAUGAUUAAGGAAACUUAACAAUAAUGUUGUUAGUGUAAGUGUGCAGAAACACGAUAUGCAACAAUAUGAAUUGUAUAAAAACACCUUAUAGAGCCUCCUUAGUGUUAGAAAUCUACCAAUGAAUUUUAAUUUUAAUUUUUAAUUUUACUAUUUCUUUUAGCAAUAUGAAUUGUAUAAAAAACACCUCAUUAGUAAAUAAAUAAUUUUAGUUUACUAUUUUUUUAGAAGAAAAUAAAAUUAAAAUUUUAUCACCAAAAUGAUCACUCAAUUCAAACUUGUAACCUCAUAGGUAAAAGAAACAAUUCAUAUAUGUUUUAAACUACUUAAUUGAGAGUUUAAUUAAUAUAAAUUCUUAAUAUAUUUUUUUUAUACUAUUAUAUCUAGGGGUGUGCAAAAAUCGAAUCGAUAAAAGUGUUAUUGGUUUAUUGUUAUUGGGUUAUUAGAUUAACGGGUUUUUCAUGGUUUUAUAAAAAAAUAUUGGGUUAUCGGUUCGGUAUUGAUUUUUUAAUAUUGGGUUAUUCGGUAAACCGAUAACCCAUUAAGAUAGACUAGUAAUUUACUACUUUUAUUUGUACAUAAAUAUUAUAUAUUAAUCUCAAUACCUUAAUUGUUAGAGUACUAUCUUUGUCCUUUAGCCUUCAAUUCACACUUCACAGUGACUUCGAGAUCACAAUUUCACAUUAUAUAAUAAAUGUUAAAAUCUAAAAUAAGAACCUUAUUCCUCUUAAUUUCUCUUUGUAUUACGCUUGUAUAGUUCUUUUCAUGUAUGUUACUAUUGUUUCUAUUUUAGGAGCAUUUGUAAAGUUACAUUAUUGUGUUUUCGCAUCAAAUUUAUUAGAAAAGUCAUAUAUUUGUUUUAUAAGUAUUUUCUUAUUGGUUAAACCGAAAACCGAACCGUUAAGGACCAAAACCGAUAAACCAAAAAUCGAUAAAAAAUAUCUUAUUGAUUUGGUUAUUGGUUUAACAUAUUUUAAAACUAAUAAACCGAACCGAACCGACCGAUGCACACCCCUAAAUUUAUAUCAUUUAAAAGAUAUUUAUAAAUAAAUAUUUAAUUUAUAAUCUCAAAAAAUGGGUCAAUCAUCUAUUAUAGUUAUGAUAUAAUAUUGUAAAAUACCUGGUAUAAUAGAUAAUAAAUACUCCUUCCGUCCAACAAUAGUUGUCGACUAUACUAUUUUGGGAUGUCCAACAAUACUUGUCCACUUUAUGAAAUCAAUGGAUAAUUUUACACUAAAUUCCUAAUUUACUCUUAUCAUUAAUUAUUGUCAUUUCCCUUUUACAUUUUUCAAAAUAUUGUAUUUAUUAUAUUCAAAGGGUGAUAUAGUAAAAUAACCAUUUUAUUUAUAGUUUCUUAACAAAUCAAUAAGUAAGUAUUGUUGGACAGGGGAUCGGAGUAUGAAGUAAUAUACAAAUUAAAAAUAAAUGAUCAUAAAAAAUACAAAGCAAAAAAUAAUAAAGAAUUUUAGUGUAACAUCAAAUUGAUCAAAUAGUGGUAUCACAUAUGAGCGCACAUUAUAUUCCGCAUCUCAAUAACUCAAAACAAGAAUGAUGUGUUUGCACAAUUUAUUUUUAGGGAGAAAUAGAGAAGUAUUUUUUUAAUUUGUUGACUCAUUCAUCCUUUCUUAUUCACUUUAUCUCCAAGACAAACUUCAGGGUUCAAUAAUGGUAGAAAUUAGGGAUACCAACUCAUGUUAUUUUCAUGCUUGCCUCAAGAACAUGAUCGUCCAAAAUUACAUUAACAAAUUUUCUAUUGUCAGUGGAGAUAUAAUGCACACUCAAAAAGAUAAUUAUGUUAGAAAAAAUUAUAUCUCUUAUUUUAUUUGAAAGAGAAUAUUAUUUUAUGUCCUAAAUUAUUUAUUCCUUAAAUAGCCUUAAUUAGUUAUUACUCCAAAUAAAUUAUUAAUGGCUCUAUUACAAUUAUGACAUAGACUUUAUUCUUCAUGAUGAUAAUGAGUCAUCAAUUCUUUACCAUUUUUGGAUUAUAAUCCAUUGGUCUCAACGCAUUAGAAGGUGAAGUGCUUUUUUUUUAUCUAUAAAUAUAGAAGUCUUUUCCUAUUGAAAAAGAUAAGUGAGAACAUGCCAAAAGAAAUUAUGCUCCUUCUUAAAUUUUAUUGCUAAGUUUUCUUUGGAUUAAAUUUUUGUCAGUUUUUGUGCUCCUAAUUUUAUAUUAUGAAAAUUUCCUAUAAUAUUCCUAAAGAAGUAUUUUCCGUAAGACUUUCAACAAAUUAAAAAUAUGUUAUUAAAUUUUGUAAGAAACUACUACAUAUAAGUGUAAAUUUACCGUCAACAAUCCUACCUAGUGUCCUAGAUGCUUGUUGUAACAUCCGUAACUUUUAGAAAAGGUUCGAAUCAUUUUCCAUAUGCAUAUAAAUCCGAUUUCGAUGGUUUCUAAUUUAUACAUGUGUUAAGAUCAAUUCCUAGUGUUGUAAGUGUAUUAGAUGUGAAUUAGAGUCAUAAGGAACAUCUAGCACUAAGUUGAGUUCAAAGUUUCUCUAUCAAUUAAGUUUUAUCAUGAGAUGAUGAAAGAGUCAACUCAAACGAUCAUAUCUCAUAGAAUAUGAAGAGUUAGGUAACUCAUAACCUAUCAAAUUAAAUGUCUAUGAGUUUUCUUUACAACACCACCAAUUGUUCAUUAAUUCGAGUUUGAAACAUAAAGUUAUGAUUGUUUUACUAAGACAUAUCCAAAAUGACUAUAAUAGUAACACCUAUCAAUUCAUAGAAUCGCCGAAUAAUUUAGCGUAUUGCCGAACUUGCAUAUUAUUUAAAGUCAAAACAAAAAGUCCUUUACUACAAGUAAGCUAAGCUAUUAAUCUAAUAUUGGAUAAAUAUUCAAACCCAAUAAUGAAAAACAAAGAGUUUCUCUUUUUCAAAUAAAAAAAUAAAACAAAUUUUCCAAGAAAAAAUGGCCAAAAAAAUACUCCAUUAGUCUUGAUUGACGACCAAUCCCAUCCAAAUCCCCAAUUCAUGAUUCACCCAUCCCUAUCCUUGAUCUACAUCGAAAGGCGCGCCAAAUAUAUCAACUUACCUCACUUUUCCUCCAAUGACAUACCUCCACGUGGCAUGCCCUUCGUGACUCCACGUCACACUAACGUUCCGUAUAAACUAUUUCAAUUCUUCUCCUAACCUCCUCUCAACAUUUCCAUUUUCGAACCUCCAUAACCAUAACACGUCUUCUUUCUCUCUCUACCUAUACAUACACAACUCUGUAUCUAUACAUUUACUGAUUUAUCGUUUUCGUUUCAAGAUUCCAUGGAGCUUCAACAGAUCAGCUCAAAGUGUCUCCAAAACAGUGAAGAAACGGCGGAAGUGGUGAACCGGCGAAUCAAUCUGCUGACGUUGCAUUUGAACCCGGUUCAGGACACCCCGGUUCAGGAAUUGGAGCUGCUAAGAUGCGCAGGGAAGAUGAAGGUGAUUAAGGUGAGCACGGAGACGCUGUCGGAGUACAUGAGAGGGAAACAUAGGGAUAUACAGGAAGAAGUAUUUGCUUACUUUAAUUCAAGACCGGAACUUCAAACACCGAUUGAGAUAUCGAAAGAUGAACAUAGGGAAUUGUGCAUGAAACAGCUUGUGGGUUUGGUAAGGGAAGGUGGAAUUAGGCCAUUUAGGUAUGUGGUUGACGAUCCGGCUAAGUAUUUUGCGAUUGCUGAAGCUGUGGGAAGCGUUGACAUGUCACUUGGCAUCAAAAUGGGUGUUCAGUACAGGUAAAAAAAUAAAUUCUCCUCACCGCCUUGACUUUAAUUUUGACAUAUUUUCACUAUUGAGGUCAAAUUUGUUUGUGAAAACAUUUUUCUUCUGGAAUCACACUGGUGGGUAUGUUGUUGAUGCCCGGAGUAACAGUUAUAUCUGUAAUUUGAGUUUAGAGUAGCACUGGUAUUUAUAUAUGUAAUUUGAAAUAUUAAUACGGAUUCAUAUUGCUGAUUUUGGGUUUUAGCUAGCCUCUGUUUUGUUUUUAUAGUUUCUCUUUUUCGGGGAGGAUUUAGAGGUCUGUGGAAUUUAGCCACUUAGGUGUAGUUGGUAUGAAACAGUUUGAUGCUAUGUGAAAAAUCAAUUAUUUUGUGCUGACUGCUGAUUAUAUACCAGUAAGAUCAUUUACAAGGACCAAUAGGAUCCAGAAAUAUGCCAAUAUGCAAAAUGUUUUCUUCCUUGCAGAAUGCAUUUGAUGAAGUUUCUGUAGAUCCUUUUGGGGUUCUAUAGCUUUAUUUGAGUUCAAGAGCAUGCAUAGAAACAAGAUAGAAAACCUUCCUUUUGAAUAAGAUUGUAUGGACCAAUCGGAUUCGUAUAUUCUCAGAGAAGAUAUUUCAUAGGAUUCUAGUCAAGACCUUGAUUGCUAUUUGAUGUUUAUCGAGGAAAGAUCUUCAGUAUAAGGCACAGACAAUGUUGUCGCUCCACUUUAGUAUACCAUAUCUCAGAUCUAAUCCGGAUCAGAUCAACUAUAGUGUUUCCUUCUUUAUUGCUAUUAUGUACAAAUGAUUUAAGUUCCUAGUAUAACUUAUGGCCAUGUUGCACCUAAUUGCCAACUUAUCAUCUAUGCAAGUAUGAGAAAGCUAGAAUUUGAUGCUUCUCAGAAUGCAUCAUUUCCAAACCUUAAGGUUGUUGGUGAUCAAGAGUACCCUAGUAAAACUUACAUACCAUAGGGUCUUCUUUUCUAAUCCUCCCUUUGUUACUGUAUGAUUCAACAUGGUGUAUUUUCUGUUCUAGUUGCAUCUUUUCCUGAAUCUCGAUUGCUAUAGCAACUAUGAUGGUAUCUUAUGUUUUGAGUUUCUCAUUAAUAGAGGUAAUAACGAAUUCUUAACGGAUUGGACUUUCAAUACAGUCUAUGGGGAGGUUCUGUUAUCAACUUGGGAACUAAAAAGCACAGAGACAAAUACUUUGACAGUAUAGACAAUGUGGACUACCCGGGAUGCUUUGCAAUGACGGAGCUUCAUCAUGGUAAAAUGUUUUGGACUACUACUUUUAUUCUUAUCGUUUCACUAUCAACUUCCAUUUUGAACUCCCUGGUCAAUGUCUAUGAUGUUUAUAUGUUCUUUGGUCGUGUGCACUACACGUACAGUUGUUUUAGCAAUUGAGUUAAGGGGGAUGAUGUUUGCGUAUAACAUACGUAGCUAAAGUAGUGAUAAAUACUUUACACAUCGGCUCAAUGCAUAUAACAAACGUUGGUAGGAAUUUGCAAGAUUAGGUUGUUCUGUACGUGUUUGUAUCCUUGACUUAUUUACAGCAUUAUGUUCCAAAGAAACAUUCAGAUCAUUUUUUCGUCCUCUUUUUCUAAAGGAAUAUUACGGAAUAUAAUUGGGAUAUCUGAACGUUGCAGAAUGUGGUUAGUAUUGUCCAGGCAGUUGAUGAAGUAUAUAUCAAUUAACAUCCAUAAGAAUGCCACUUAUUUGAAUCAAAACCAUUGCCAUAUAGUGCUGUUAUUUUGAUAAUUAGGACACUUGGAUUCAGUCUAAUCUACUUUGAUCCUUUUGCUCACCAGGUUCAAAUGUCCAAGGUCUUCAGACAGUUGCCACCUUUGAUCCACUCACAGAUGAAUUCAUAAUUGACACGCCAAAUGAUGGGGCUAUUAAAUGGUGGAUUGGUAAUGCUGCCGUUCAUGGGAAGUUUGCAACAGUUUUUGCAAGACUGAUGUUACCAACUCAUGAUACAAAAGGUGUUACUGACAUGGGUGUUCAUGCAUUUAUUGUUCCGAUAAGGGAUAUGAAAACCCACAAAACACUGCCAGGGGUUGAAAUACAUGAUUGUGGCCAUAAAGUUGGCUUGAAUGGAGUAGAUAAUGGUGCGUUGAGAUUCCGUUCAGUAAGAAUUCCACGAGAUAACCUUCUUAAUCGAUUUGGAGAUGUUUCACGGGAUGGGAGAUACACCAGCAGCCUGCCUACAAUUAGCAAAAGAUUUGCUGCCACACUUGGAGAACUUGUUGGUGGUAGAGUUGGCCUUGCGUAUUCAUCUGUGGGUGUUCUCAAGAUUGCUGUUGUUAUUGCAACAAGAUAUUCUCUUCUGCGCCAGCAAUUCGGUCCUCCUAAACAACCAGAAGUUAGUAUACUUGACUACCAAUCUCAGCAGCACAAGCUUAUGCCGAUGUUGGCUUCAACCUACGCAUUCCAUUUUGCCACACUUCAUCUGGUGGAAAAAUAUUCUGAAAUGAAGAAGUCUCAUGAUGAGGAACUGAUAGGGGACGUACAUGCACUUUCUGCAGGGCUUAAGGCCUAUAUCACUUCUUACACAGCAAAGUCAUUGAGCACAUGUAGAGAAGCUUGUGGUGGCCAUGGUUAUGCCGCUGUCAAUAGGUUUGGAAGUUUGAGGAAUGAUCAUGACAUAUUUCAGACAUUUGAGGGAGACAAUACUGUUCUUCUGCAGCAGGUUGAGAUUUGAGAUUUCAAGUCCAUUUCCUCUUGCAUACAAAAAGAACUGUUCUGUUUCUUAAUUAUUUUAAGCAAAAUAUGAUAAAGGGACAGGGUAUAACGACUGUUCUUAUGAUCCAGGUAGCCGGUCUUCUGUUGAAGCAGUACAGGGAGAAAUUCCAAGGUGGGACGCUCACUGUCACAUGGAACUACCUAAGACAAUCCAUGAAUUCUUACCUUGCUCAGCCUAACCCGGUAACUGCUAGAUGGGAAAGUGAAGAUCACUUACGCAAUCCUAACUUCCAGUUGGAUGCUUUUAGGGUGAGUAUUUUGUGGUCAAUCUGACAACAGUACAUAUUGGCAUACAACAGCAUUGUAUAUCUAACUAAUGUUGUAACUGCUCCUUUUCCAGUAUCGUACGUCAAGGUUGCUUCAAAGUGUAGCUAUCCGGCUUCAGAAGCACUCCAAGACUCUUGGAGGAUUUGGUGCUUGGAAUAGAUGUUUAAAUCACCUGUUGACACUUGCAGAGUCUCAUAUUGAAUCGUUCAUUCUUGAAAAGUUCAUUGAAGCAGUUAAAAAGUACUUUCCUAAUCACAGUUUGAGAAACUUUAUCUUUCCUUCAACUAGUAUUUAUCUAAUUCUCUCUUUUAUUUGCAGUUGUCCUGAUGAAAACUCUCGUGCUGCCUUAAAACUCGUGUGCGAUCUAUAUGCCUUGGAUAGAAUCUGGAAUGACAUAGGAACUUACCGCAAUGUGGACUACGUGGCCCCUAACAAAGCUAAGGUAUGAAUCUAGAGAAAAUUAGCUGGAUAUUUAGUCACUGUACUUCAUCUUUAUAUCUUGAAUUUAACACUAAAUGCAAAUUAAACCAUUCAAGAGUAUAGUACGCGACAUCAGAAUCUAAUUGCAGCUUUGCAGUUGAUAUGGUUCUUAAGGAUUAUUCUAUCUUGAUGACCCCAUUCAUCGUAGAUACUAUGACUUUUAGUAGUUUUAUUCUCUUAAAGAAUCUAGAUAACCAUAUAAAGUAAAUGACUCUUGGCAAAUAUGGUUAAUCUUAGAAGUUAAAUGAGCAAGUUAUAAAUUUUCGUUUAGUUAUAAUACUCUCUAGCCAGGUUGAUUCUCUUCUAUGCCUGACCAUCCACUUUUAAUUUCACAGGCAAUUCACAAGCUAGCAGAUUAUCUAUGCUUCCAAGUUAAGAAUAUCGCAAGGGAACUUGUUGAUGCCUUUGAUCUUCCAGAUUAUGUUACGCGUGCUCCAAUUGGUGUGCAGACUCCAUCAGAAGCUUAUACGCAGUAUACUCAGAAUGUUGGGUUCUAGCUUCUAACAGCUCUGAUUUUCAUUGUUCAAGAAGUUCCCCAUGGUCCUUAUAAGUAUACUUUGUAUCCCAUUAUUUAUCCUGAUGUCAAGCUUCCUGUAUCACUUUUAUCUUUGGUAAAGCAAGCUUGAGGAAUUCUUGUUGUAUUCACUUCUUGUCAACAAAUUCUAAUAGGUGAACUUGAUGUACUUGUCUCAACAUUAUAUAUGAAAUCAGAUCUGAAGGGGUGCUAUAUAUUAUAUUACAUCAAGCAUUUGCAUUAUUUAUGGUGGUUUCUAAAUAUAGUUAUUUCUGAUUAUUUGUUAUUUUAGAAAUAUAAAUAAAAUUAAUUGUUAUUUCUUCUUUUUUACCCUUGGUAGUAAUAUAGUUAUCUCAUUUCUAAAUCUUUCUUAAAUAUUCAUUUAAGAAAGAUUAUGUCUUAAAAUAAAAAUAAAAGAAAGAUAGUUAUAAAUUUCCUUAAUUAGUGUUUUUUAAGGGAGGUGUAAAAUAGAAACACUGAAAAUAAUUUGGAACGGAGGAGAACACUUCAAUUGAGGGAUAAAGGCAUAUAAAUAGAGUAAAUAUUUAGUAAAGAGAGACUAUAGUAAGAUAUGAAUAAGAAUCACUUUUUAAGAGACAUUAAAAAUAGAAAUACACCAGAUAAUUUGAGAUGGAGGGUUGUUGAGCAAAACAUAAGACAUUUAUAAGCUUCUUAAAGUCAUAUUCUUGACAAAUUUGUCAGCCCCAACAACAGCAGAAACUGCUCUGCAUUUAUUUUGGUAUUGACCAUUUGAGCUUAUUACAUUUUCCACUGCUGGACCAGUUGAAAUGGUUCACAUCCCACACCUACUUUAUAACAAUAAUAUAGGUAAGUGUAAUUUCAUAAUUGGAGUCCAAAAGGAGCAAAAUAUAAGCGGAUCUUACACCUAUCUUAUGGACGUAAAGAGACUCUGUCGGCUCAAGUACAGCAAGUCCCACACCUAUCUUUUUUUUCUAAAUUCGGAACUGCUGCAGCAUCCCUAGUCACUACAAAUUGAUCUCCACAUGAUGCAGCAGCUGCUGUUUUGCUAAUAACUUUUGACCUUGAUAAGAGCAAUAAUGUUUACUUUGAUAAGAAAUAUGUUAAAACAUAAUACUGAGACAACAGUUAGGAAGAGAGUUAACAACUCAUGAAAUGUUGCUGCCUUCACUACGUAGUUUUGAAAGCUCAUGCAUGAUGCAACUCGCAAGUAGAAUGGAUAUUUAAUCAUUAAACUGACUGAACAGUCUACUUUUUCAGUUAAAUUAGUAACCUAUUUUCCACCAAAAAGAGAAGGCAUAAUCUUCUUAGCCACUUUUGAUUUACAAUAACAUAUUUUCAUAAUGCAAUCAUAUACUAAAGGAUCUUGGUGCUGGUCGAUAGUUCAGAUAUGCAUUUCGAGCUGUAUCGCAUUUCUGCCUGAUAUCUUCACACAUCUUUAAAGAAGCCUCCGAGAACUUGGUCAGACGGUCCAGAACCUUUGUUAAACUCGAGUGAAUGCAAUUCAAAUUUGAUGACUUAUCAUCGUUCUUCUCUUCAUCUUUCACUUCCAAUUCCUCAUUCCCUGGUUCAGGAGUAGUUUCUUUCUUUUGCAGUUCCUCGGAGUGGUGUCCAACUGAAUGCCGCAGGUCAUACAAGAAUUCCUUGAUGGCAUCACUAAGCUCUUCAGAAGGCAGAGAUUUAAUCCCAGUGGACCAGUCACGACAAAGCACAAAUAUUGGUGGGGCUAAAACUCGUCGAGGGGAAAAUGCUCUUCUGCCUUUGGUUCGCUCACGUGGUUGCAGGAUGCAGUUUUGCAGCCAGCUGUUAAGAGCUUCCACAUAUGAAGUAUGGCUGUUAAUCCAGUUGGCAAAACUCAAGCCAAAGCACUCUACUUCAUCCUGCAGCCGACUCAUAAUCAGCUUUUGAGCAUCACCCUGGGGACUAGAAGCCGAAGCUUUGGCAUGGUAUGCUAGAGAAAUGGUUAUAUACUGAGCAUGAUGGCAUUCAAGCAUCGCUCUCCACAUUCUGAUCAAUCUGCAUGGAGCCCAGAUAUUACGAAUCUAAUAGUAAACAUAAUAGCAAACAUAAAAGGCAUGUGCAUGGACAGAUUACCCUAGAAAUGAGGUUCAAUAAAAUAGUUCCUCAAAUUAAAUAUCUAAUGGCAGGAAGAGUAAAAGAAUUGUUGUCCUUACCCUUGGAUAAGUUCCAAAAUUUGAGGCAACAACUCUUCAUCCCUCAUUUUCUCUAUCCGCUUUGAUAUUGAAUCAACUGAAUAUAGAGCCACCCUGAUGCGUGAAUGGAGAUCCUUCACCACUGACCGUGUUUUGUCAAUUAUUUGGGCACUAACAUCUUUGGCAAAUUGAUGCCUAAGUUGGUUACACUUCCGAUCAUAAUCUCUCCUGAUUGACUCAAUCGUCUACAAAUUAAAGAGGAUGACCAGCAAAUGAGCUUUGAAAUCACACAAAAGGAGAAAUUAUCUUCUAAAAUUACCACAAUAAUGACAUGCCCAUGAAAGGCUCUAUAGUUCAUCUCAUUUCCUCAAGAUUCAAUUCAAGAACAGUGAUGAGGUGUGAAAUACAACAAAACUAUGGAAGGUCCAGAAACCAAAAUGAAAAUGUAUCUUAUCAAUAUUAGUAUCAAUACUAAAAGAAAUUUCCGAAUUUCUGUCUUGUUUUCCACAUGGUAAUUUCCUCCAUAUAUACAAAUUUUCUGAACACCCACUCCGCAGAAAAGAAACAUUCUUCGAUUGGCUGUUAUCUAUUGGCACUAGUGAGAACUGGAGUAAAUGGAGCUCCUGAUCCAGAACAGCUUCUAAAAGAAGGAUUUUCCAGUAUAAAGCAACUGAAACUGACGGGACAGAUUGGUAGUUUGGAGUACUGCAGUAAGACAUGGACCUAAAAACCAAAUACUUUAUAAACAUAACUUAUUAAACAUCAUUUUUUAUGGAUAUAAAUAUAACUUGCUAAACGUUCUUGUUGUCAACCAGAUUCUGUCUUUAUCAAACAAAUAGGGAUUCUUAUGAAAGAGCAAUGCCACAACAACAACUGCACCAGCAGAAAGAUACAUUUUGACAUCAUCAAGGAGGAUAACAAGAGAUGGACUUCUAUGAAAGUGAAGCUCAAUGAUAAUGAAUAUGCUUUAGAAUGAAUAAAAGAAAUGUGCUCAGACACCUCAAGCAGAACAGAAUUUUGUCAAAAAAGGAAAAGUUGGAAGACAGGGUGUUUUCAUGUAUAUAAUGUGAAUGAGUAAUAUAGAAGACCCACAUGAAGUUUUGCAGUCCACCAAGAGGACAGAGAAAUUAAGGGGAAAAAAGUCCAACAGAUUUCAGCAUUUUGGAAUUUCUCAUUAACUUGGUAUUUCCAGAUCUCUGGUUAUAGAGCAAUGCAGCUAUCGGCCUACGUAAUACUCCUAGGGGAAGUCAAUAGGCUACACAUUGUGUAGUUUAGGAUGAACAACACCCAAGGUGUAGCCUACAGGUCAAUGAUGUGGGUUGAGACACAUGAGAUCUCAGGUUCAAAUUCUAGCAGAAAUAAAAACACACCAGGUGAUUUCUACUCGUCUGUCCAAGUAUUGGUGGACAGAGCUACCCAGUACUUGUGCUGGUAGGAGGUAGCAGGGACACGCUUAAUUAAUCUAAGUGCACACAAGCUGGCCCGAGUAUCACAAUUAUCAAUUGAAGGGUCAUUUCACCACAUGUUUCUCAGUAUACUCUUUGUCUAAUGUGUCAUUCAGCUACUAAAAUUAUCCUAGUUUGAUCAAGGCUACUAAAAUUUUCCUUAAUUCUCAAAUUCUGCAGUAUUUUACUCUAAACCAUUUUUAAAAAAAAGAAAGGUGUAUUUUACUCUAUAAACCAUAUUUAGCAACUAUUUCUUGGAAGUCUGCUUAUUAAUAUCUGAAGAUUCAGCUUUUAUUUGUAUUUGAAUUACUUGAGCUGUAAUUACAAGCUCCCUGAGCUAAUCCUGCACCAAUGUAAUAAUUCAAAAUAAUCAGGACACUCAACUUUCUAGGUCAGUACCUUCACUUCAUCAUAGAGUUUCCUCUCCCAUGCAUAUACUCUGUCAAGGGUGGAUGAGUGGCUUCCAGCUAUCAUACAAAAAUCUUCGACAAAAUCACUUCCACUAUCAUCAUUGUCAUCCUUGCUAUUAAGAGGAUUCCUUGAUGAAGAUGAUCUAGAGGAUGUGGUCCUCUUCCAGAUAAUCACCUUUGUUACAUGGUCUGCUUCUGCAUAGCACUAGAGUAUUAGAACAGCAAUGAACAGGAAAAAAGAGUAGAAAUGCUUUGAUCAACUAAAAUAUAAAAAGCAAAUGAUUCGUGAAAGACCUGCUUCAAUUCUUAGUGCUACUGUGCUAGCAAAUUUAUGAACUACAACCAAACUUGAAUUACAUAUUUCUAAAUACUAGGUGAUUUCUUCCCAUAGGUCCUAUCCUUGGUGGACAGAGUUACCUGGUACCUAUUAUUGGUGGGAGCUGGAAGUAUCCUGUGGAAUUAGUCGAGGUGCGCAAAAACAGGCACGAACACCAUGGUUAUUAAAAAAAAAAAAAAACUUACUCCAUGACAAUUUUUUUAACAUUAACUCCAUAAUCAAGUUUGUCCAGCAUUACUCCAAACAGGUUUGAUAGUUAAUUAUGCUUUUAGUUCCGUUAAUGGGUAGUUGUGAUUUAAAUCCCUAUGUUUGUGUUGUGUUUUUUUAGAUAAUAAAUCCCUAGAUUUGUUGGAGCACAUUAGGACUAGAAUUUCUUGAAUCGUGGACAUUUCAGCUUCGCCUUGGAUGGACGUAAAAAGUAAAUACUCUCUCCCUGUCUCAAACUCAAAUUUAUAUGAAGUUUUCUGAUUAGUGAUGCCCAUAACUGUUUGAAACCGUUCUAUAAAUAAUAUCUUUUAAAACAUUCACGAGUUUUUAGAGUUCACAUAUCAAAUUAAUAUCUUAAAACUCUGUACACCAUCACAAGCUAUAAAUUCUUUUUUGGAUAAUCGUGGUGUUCGGCCAACUUGGGCGCACCUUAACUAAUUUCACAGGGUACCUUCUAGCCAACACAGGUACUGGGUACCUCUACCCACCAAGGCUUGGACAAACGGGAAGAAAUAACCUAAUGUUUUUGUCUCCACUGGAAUUUGACCCAAGACAUCAUGGUCUCAACACACUUCAUUGACCACUAGGCCACACCCUUGGUCAAUAGCUUAGGACACCUCAGUGAUCUUCUCGGAGUAAACCAAAAGUUUAACCAAGGUAACUACCUCUGCAUCCCCAAGCUCCACCAUCCACUCACAACUCUUGCAUCCCCUCACCACAGCCUUCACUGUAUUUUUUCGCUCAAUUUUUUGUUCUCUCUUCUAACCUCUCUUAUCCUGCAGUCACACACAUUUCUCUUGCUUCCUUUCCUUUUCUUUCUAUUUCGAAUUUUCUACAUCCCUUUCUCCCUUCAAUAUGCUAUACAACACCGCUUAGCACCAAGACUACAACCCAAUUACUAUAGCCUUUACCACCAUCAACAAGGCAUCAACCCGUCCAUCAGCCACAGCUACUUGCAGUCACCACCAGCUUUCUCGCCCAUACUCAACAAUGCUCACACUCCUCCACCUACCCAAAGCCCCAACUAGCUCAAAGAAGGAAAGAGAAGGACAAGAAUUAUGUAGGACAACGACUCAGAUAUGACUUAAAAUGACCACGAAAGACCAAAGAGCCAUUUUCAAAACAAUUGUCUUGGAUGCAAGUGCUGCAAAGUUUCUCAACAGGCCUCUUAGUUAAAUCUGUCAACAUUCUGACUUAAACGCCCAUUUCAUCAAUAUUAAGGUUUACAGUGCUCCAAAAGUAAGAUCAACCUUUUUGCUUCAAGUAAGCUCAAAAUGUUGAUAAAAAUUUUACUAUUUUGCUCAUAGUAAAAGAAACUGUUUUGAAGGGAAAAGCCUACAAUAUCCAAUCUUUACAGCUCUAGUAAUUACAUGUUGAUGUGAUUAUCUCAUUAACACACAGCCUUCAUGAAGAAACCCCAAGUUUACUGCCUUUGGAGUAACACAAUUAAGUAAAAUCACAAAUUCUGCAAUCUAAAGCCUGAAUUUGGAUUUAUGUUUUUCCUCUUUUGAGGUUGUUUAUAUAAUGUUUAAUUAAAUAACCAAAUUGACAACUUUUAUAUGAAGACAUGAUUUAUUAAUUUGUUCAAUGAACUUACCACCAGCCAUGUUCUCACCCACUCUUCUGCAGCAACCUGAGCCCAUAGAAGACAAAUAGGCGGACACCGAAGAUUUUCCUGAAGAAGCAAUGUAUUAGCACUUGACCAUAGAUACCAAAAAACCAUGUGAAUUUCAGUAGGUAAAAUGAUGCAAAAACCAAAGUAAGCAAUAAAAGAGCAUUCUUUAAUGUCUCAAAGAGACAGUUACCUUUGGCCUCAGAAAACCCAACUCUGAUUUUGCUAGCUUCGAGCAUUCUUGAAAUCUCUUUUCCGGAUUCAGAUGCUCUAAAGAAUCGAUGUUCAAUGUCCUUUAUGCUAGAAAGAAAAUCUUUGGCUCUAUGAGUUAUGAACUCUGAAGGAUCCUCUCUUUCAUCCACUAAAGGCUUGUCUCCCUUUGAACCAGAUACUUGCAAGGCAGAUUUCCCAAUCGUAGUCCCAACUGAACCAUUUGCUUUCGGCUCACUGCUCACGUUAUUACCCUCACCACCAGCUACUUGCUGACUAUUAUUCUCAGCCCUCUUAGGCAUAACUGAACUAGAAUCAUGAAAUUCCAAUUUACCAUGACCAUUAUUGCUUCUAGGUUCAGAUUUAGGUGUCAAGAACUCUUCUUGAAUCCCAUUGUCACCCUCAUUAUCUUUUUCACCAAGUUCAUCAAAGUUCAGUUGCCUACCAUUAUGUGUAACAAACCUAAAGCUCUCAUUAUCUGUAGGGUCAAAAAAAUCCCAAGACCCUGAAUCUGGCGGUGGGGGUGGGGGUAAUGGGGUUAAGAAAUCAACAUCAUCUACAUACAUAUUGGUUGAAGGUGGACUCACCUUAACAGUGACAGCAGUAGGUCCAGCAGACCGCAUGUAACUCAACCUAGUAGCAAUAGGAGGUGAAAGGGGACUUCCAUUUAGAACAGGAGAAUCUGAAACCCCACCAACGUGAGAUGGUGAAGGUGAUGGAUACGACGAAUGUGACGGAGUUUUAUCAAGCUCAGUAGCUGAAGUUGAUAGAGAUGAUUCUAUCAACACUUCAGCCUCCGCAUAUCUCCUAAGAGCAAUGCCUAUAUUUCUCAAAGAUUCAACAUACGAAACAUGAGCAGCUGCUAGUGCAUACCUAGAAUCGACUGCUUGUUUUAUAAAUCUUUUCCUUUCUUUACACAAUCUCAGAGCUUCACUCCUCUCAGAUUUUGAGCUUGCCGCACCCAUUUAAACAAAGAAAAAAAGACAAUCAAAUCAAACCACCCACUUCCCUGAAUUGAACAUUUCCACCAUUAACACUGAUUUUCCCCCCAAAAACACUAAAACCCUAACACCAAACCCAAAACCCUUUUUUCAUCAAAACAGAUAAAAUGGAUAAAAGGGGUUCACACUCAUGUAAAAAACUGCAAAAAGAAAAAGAAACACUCGUAAAUCAGACCUCUUCAGUCGAAGAAACGAAACCCAAGUGAAGCUGAAGAAAAGCUCUAAAACAGAGGAGAGAGUGAAAAGCGAACAAAAUAGUAAUCUUUAAGCCCAAUAAAAAGGUAACCUGAAUCGAUUGGACAAUGAAAUGGAAACCAUUCAAUGAAAACAGAGCAUUCAGUUCAACUUUUUAAGCAAAGGGACCAUUACAGAAAUGAUGAGAAAAUAAGGUAGAAGAAGAAGCAGAAGAAGAAAGGAGGGAAUCCUGUACAGUGUUGAUGCAUUAGCCUCUCGGGAAGUGUGCUUGAAUGCUACUUUACGUUCCUUUCCUCUUUAUUCAUUCAUAAGAAAACGAAGAUUUAACAGGGGUUGAACAAUACUCGUUUAUUUGGUUCAAAACUUUAUGGUGAAAAAAGUACUACAAUUUUUUUAAAUGAAAGAAUUUAUUUAUUUUCUCCAUUUCAAUUUAUGUAAUAAAAUUUAUAUUUUAUAUUUAAUCAGAUUAUUUAUAAAAUUAUAGUCAUACAUAUAUUUAUGAUUAUUUUAUAUAAAUGACUUAUGUUAGACCACAAUUUUUAAGAAAGUAUAAUACUUUUUCAUCUCAAUUUAUGUGAUGUAGUUUGACUUGACAUAAAAUUUAAGAAAAAAAGACUUGUAAAAUUUAUGAUUUAAAAUAAGUCAAGAUACUUGUAUGAGUAUAAUUUGUAUCAUUAAGAAUAAUAUGACAUUUUAAAAUUAAAUUGUUACUAUUAAACAUAAAAUAUCUCAUUCUUUUUAAACGGAUUAAAAAUAAAAAUAAAUCGUGUAAACUAGAACAUAGAGUAUUAUAUCGUGAAAUAAGCCAUUGAAUAGUAGUUGGGAUAAUAAUUGAAAGAAAAUGGUUUAAGGAAUUUAUAACUCCAACAUAAUCUUUGUACUUAGCAAUAAUAUUUGUGAAUCAAAUUAGUAUUGUGUUUAACCAAUAGAUUAGAAAAGAAUGACUAAUGAGAAACAACAAAUAAAAUGAUUCAGUACAAGAUGACACAUUCACAAGGCUCCACAGUGUGGAAAGCAAUGGAUUUUUGCUUUGUUUCUGUUAGUUGAUCAUUUUAAUACAUUAAAAAAAAUAUUAAGUACUAAUUUUUUUAUAUUAUUCUUGUCAUUAUUUUUUUUAUGAAAAUAUUCACAUUUAUUUGUAAAUUAGCAAAAGACUUUUUAAGAGUUGAAUUAAUAAAAUUAUUUACUUAUUAAUGAUUUUUUAAAUAUCAUGUAAAAUAGAAAUUGUUCAAUUAAUAUAAAAUGGAGAGUAUUUGUGUGGGUGAUAUCUUUUGAACAGGAAAAGCCUUUGCACAUAUUGGCAACAAGCAUUCUUUUUGUACAAUCUGUGUCAGUCAAAUUAAUGAGUAAUUAAUUGCAUUGGCAAAUGUGAUUCUAUGACUAAACUACCCCCACUCUAACGGCUCCUUUUCUUUUCACUCUACUGUCUUUUGCUUCAGUUUUAUUUACUUUUACCUUCACAUUACUCCCUCCGUUCCAUUUCUUCACAUUACUCCCUCCGUUCCAUUUUAUGUGAGGUAAUUUGACUCGACACAAAGUUUAAGAAAGAAAGGAAGAUUUUUAAAACUUGUGAUCCAAAAUGAAUGAUAGAAAUUUGUGUGACUGUAAAUCAUUUCAUUAUGGGUAAAAUAGACAUUUUAUAGUUAAAUUAUUACUUAAUAUAAAAAUGUGUCACUCUUUUUGAGACUGACUAAAAAGAAAAGUAAAUCACAUAAAUUGAGACAGAGGGAGUAUUAUUUUUGGUUAAUUCAGAAAAAUUAAUCGAAAGGGAAAUAUCACUCAUUUUUUCAUUCUAAUUUAUAUGGAAAUUUGUUUUCAUUUUUCGUGAAAAUGAAGGUCACACACCCAAAACAUUUUAAACUCUAUAUAAAAGUACUUGGAUAUUAUAAUUAAACCUUUAUAUGUAAGCUCAUAAACUUUCGACGUGGAUUAAUGACAAUCAUAAAUAUAUAAAUAUACCACCAAAGUAGAGUAAUUUUAAUUGACCAGUAAAUUUUUUGCCUAAUAGAAGAAGGUAAUUACGUAGAGGAGACAAGUAUUAGUGGGGUAGAGCCCCUACUACGUGAGGUCGUAUAUUUUUUACACAGAAAAAGAAGUGCAAUUGAAUAUACAUUAGUGUAUAUUCCUUACAUUUUAAAAAUUAUCAAGUUUGGUUUUUUAAAAUUUAUUUAUUUAUUUAUUUUAGUUUAAUAUAGAAUAUUCCACUUAAUUUUUCUUUAAUAAAGUAUUUCUUUCUGGUCAUACUGAAGAUCUGAAUCUUACUUUUUUAGCCCUUGAGAAUAUAUUUCUAUGCAAUCUGAUCCUUUUGUCCCUUUAUUUAACAGAGUACUUCAAUGGUUUUAUAGAUUCUUAUGUGUAUGAUAAUGUAAAUUUUGAGAGAAUCUUACAUGUCAGGACCAAUUAAUUGGUUCAUAAUGGCGUGAUUAAGCAGCUAAAUCACCUUUUUAAUUUGUCUUAUGCUCAUUCAAUGGUUAGGUAAUUUACACUUAAGUACCUUAAAGUUCAUGGAUAUAUCAAUUAUCCUCACAACUUUUACCAAAGUUACAUUUUUUUGGUUUUGAAAUAGCCGUUAAAAAGGAUUAUUAUUAUUUUUGCAUUCUGUUAGUUGAAAGAUAAUUUUGAGUAAAAAAUAAAACUAACUCAUUUUGAAUAAUUGAAGAAUAUAUUUAUCCCUUUUCUCUCCUAUUAAUAUGAAAAGAAAUAAAAUAAAUAAUUUUUUAAUAAAAGAAGUGGUUAGAGGAGGAGCAGGGCGAAUUUUUUGCGGAUUUUGCGCAAAACAAAAAGAGGAAAUGGGCGCCUCUUCCCUCGUGCAAAUUACUUUAUUUUUUUGUUUCUUUCUUCCCCUUUUUCCUUUUCUUUUUGAGUCCCUUUUAUCCUUUUUGCCCCUUUGUAUAUCUUAUUUUGUUUUUUAAUUAUGUGUUUGAUAUUCGUAUUAAAAUUGGACCAAUUUGAAUUUACAUUGGGUGAGAUCAUUUGGAGGUACUGUUUUCUAUUAAAGUUUUUUUCACACUCAAAAUUUGAAAUCGAGAUUCCUGUUAGAGGAGAAGUAACUUCAUCCACCACAUCAAAAUAUGAUUGUAUAAUUCUUUUUUUUUGAAACUUUGGAGAAAUUCACCACUCUAUCCAAAGGUGCGUAUUGAAUAAAUCUAUGCGCUCGCAAAUUAUACAUUAGAUGCUAAUGUGAAUCACACGAACUCUAACUGAGAAGACUGCUAGUGACGAAAAUUGAUCAUCGAACCAACUCAGUCAAUCCACGUGAGUGUAUAAUUCAUUUUAACAAAUAGCCUAUUUUGCGAUCAAUAUUUUUGUUGUAAUUGAUACGGGUCCGAAAGAGAUGGUAAAGAAUGAAAAAACAAGUGUCAAUUUAUUUUUUACAAAUAGAAAAACUAAUUAACAAUAUAGCGGAAAAAUAGUUUUAAUUAUAAAAUAGCCGAAAGAAAUUAGUUUAAUUUUUUUUUUCUUUACACUAAAUAAUGAAAGAAAAAAAUAGAAUAAGAAUAAGAAACUCAAAUAAUGAUAAUCAAAGAAGUCAAAAAACAAUUUAUGUAUGAAAAGUAUACCUGAUACUUUACUAGAAGGAAUCAUAUAUGACCCUACAUGAUUUUUUUUCUUAAAAUUAAAAGUAAAAAAUAUAAAUUUAAAACUAACUUUUUUACUUCCGUUAGAUGAAGGAUAUAUACGAGUUUCUUUUGUAACGGUAGGGGUAUAUGUGAGUCAUUUUGUAUAACAGUAAGAGUAUAUACAAAUCGCUUUCAUAACGAGAGUUAUAUCAGCUCUAAAUGUCAAAAUUGAGGGUUAUAGUAUCUCUUAAAUGAGUAUUAAAAAAACAACGAGAAAAGGAUAAAAAUAAAAUAUGCUUAUAUAAAGGCUAAUUCAAUAUUUAAAGUUUAUGAGUUCCUAGAGUAACCUCAAGUAUAUGAAAUAAAUAUAAAAGUUAUUGAGUUCACAUGAACCAACCAUUUCAACCAAGCGUUUGAUCUCAACAACACGAGAAUGUUGUUUUUAACUUGAAAUCCCUAAAACAAACUUCAUGCUAAUUAUGCUUUCCCUCAUACGAUUUAUAACUUUGUCUUAAUACGAAACACGAGAUUAAUCAUCAGCUAAUCUAACAUAACAUGACUCACCUAACUUAAUUAUCAUGAAAAAAAAUCGUUUGCAUGCCACUUUUUGUUCUUUAUUUCAUUUCAAUUUCAAAACAUUAAUUGGUCAAUGUAGAUGUUCUACUGAUUUCAUUAGUGUUUGAACUAUCAUUAUGCAAUUUAAAAUAAUUUUUAGCUAUACGUACUCAUUGUUUUUCUCUAUAAAAAAAAUACUACUUUAGAAGUCACUGACAACAACAAUAAAAGAAAUUAGUCGAUUGGAAAGAAAUGAGUUCAGUAAAGAACAUGAAAUGACUGUACAAUUAUUUCGAUUUGAUCAUUUCAUUUUUUUUAAUCAAGUUGGUAUUUUAAAAUUUGAUUUUGGUAUUAUGUGAUAUGGAAAAUUGAUAAUCAUAGUUUGUUCGAUUUUGAUUUGUAUAUACAUUAGAACUAUGAUUUUGUCUUUUCAAGAAACAUUUCAAUUAUAUCAUACUAACACUUUAAAUAUGUAGAAAUAUUCAAGUUAAUUAAAUUUCUUUUGUUAAUCCAUUGCACAAAAAUUAAAAAAUAUUUCAAUUAAGAUAAAAUAGUGAAAGUUUUAAUGUCUAAAUAAUUAGUGUUGUACUAAUAUUAUUCUAUAUAUUUAUUAGAGAAAAUACAUAAAAUCCCCCAUGAACUUAGACGAACAACUUACUUUAGCACUUAAACAAUACAGGUGAUUAAAUAUCUCCUUUAACAUCUAUGAAGUGAAUUAAAUACAACCCUGAGAGUAACAUACCACUCUCACCUGGCACAUCAUAACCAUGUAAGCGCCACGUCACAACCAUGUAAGCACCACAUCAUUAAUUUUUUAUCUUUUUUUUUUUGCUUAUUCACCCUUUUUCUUAAACAUUUUUUAAAAUUCAUUACACUAAUCAAUUAAUUUAAAAUGCAUUUUAAAAUCAAAAUUGCCCCACCUUCUUCCACCCCUUCUCUUCUACGCCCCUGUCACGACCCAGACCGUUAUGAUUGGCACCCACACUAACUCUCUGGUGGGAAAACCAUUACUACUAACCAACUAACCCCAAAACUAAACAUUUAAAGAUACGGAAGCGGGUUUAAAUGCAGAAAUAAAAUGGAGUUCCCAUAAACUCUGAAGUUUUAACCAAAAUCACUACCAAACAUUGCGGAAAACCCCCUAGAAUCUAAAAGUCAAUGUACCAAAACUCUAAGUUCAACAAUGUCUAAGAAAAUGAGUGCAACCCAAACUAAACAUAAGAAUAUCUAAAGUACUAGUCUAAGUCCGAAUAGAAAUGGACUAAACAUAACGAGAACUCAUGGUAGCCUGGAAGGACUGACUCACCCUUGAAUUCGAUCUCGAUCAGUGAUCUCCUAAACGAGGUAUGUCUGUAGCCGCCUGAAGAUGCCUUGUACUCAACAAAGAAAGAGCAAGUGCAGUAUCAGUACACAACCACAGUGUACUGGUAGGAUCACAUGGCUAUUCAAGUAAGUGAAACAUACAUAAGCAGUUACAACAUAGUAAACACGCAUAUACCAUAUACAAUAUCAGUUAUCAUCUCAGGAUCAAUGUACAAUUCCAGAUUCUCAAUAAAACACAUGUAUGACAAGUCAAUGGUCCUCUCAUGGAACCCAUACCGAAACUGUUAGUGUGCCGGAUCGUGACACCCGAUCCAAGUUAGUGUGUCGGAACGUGACACCCGUUCCAAUAUGUAUGUCGGUAUGUGACAUCCGAUCCUAGUUAGUGUGUCGGAACGUGACACCCAAUCUAUUCAACAUGCCACAAUCACAAACACAAUGUACAUUCUCAUAAUCAUACAAUCAAGUGUUGAUUCAUGGCUUACAAUCAUUCAUUCAUACUCAUUUACAUUAGGUGUGAUUAAUAGUGCAACAUUCGCAUACAUACAUGCAUUACAAUGAAGCAAAUACUAACAUACAGCACACAAACAUGAAAUCAAACCAUCACCUACCUCGAAACCAAGCUUGAAUCCCCCUAAGACACUUGUAUAAUUCUUAAGAAAAAAAAAAACUAAAAACAUUAUAUGCAAUACUUUCGUUUUCAAAAAGAAAAAGAAAAGACAGAUAUCCUAUUUAUUUUUUCUAAUUCUUUUGAUAAAUUUCACUAUAUUUUAAUUUAUUAUUAUUAUUAAAAAGUGUCAAUUACUACUCUCUCCAUUCAUUUCUAUUAUGUAUUGUAAAAACUUAAAUGUCUCAAAAUUUAUUAUUCUACUUAUUCCUAACCUUUAUUGUAACUUUGAAGGCCUAAAUAUUUAACUCCAACCUUUCAUUUCUUCACGAAGAAUGAAAAAUCUAUAUGUAGCUAUAUAUUAUAUAAAACUAAAUAUUAAAAAAGUGAUUUGACACCUCUCUUUAGCCAAUGAUCCUAUUUAUUUUUUUAUUAUUGUAAUUUUCACUAUAUUUCUAUCUAUUAUUACUAUUAAAAAGUAUCAAUUAUUACUCCCUUCAUUAAUUUCUAUUAUUUAUUUUAAGAAUUUAAACAUCUCAAACUUUACUACUCCACUUAUUCCUAUUAUUUAUUGUAAAUUUAAAGGCAUAAAUAUUUAUCACUCAAAUAUUUUAUUUCUCCUUAAAGAAUGAAAAUUUAUUAAAAUAGAGUAGUCUAAUGAAAUAUCAUUUCAAAUAUAUUUUUAAAAAAAAUUAAACUACCAUACUAUUAUAACCUAUGAAUUUAAGGGUUUCAACCAAAAGAAAAAGCUCAUAUAAAUUUGAAGUAUUGUAAAUUAUAUUUCAUGAAGAGGUAAUUUAUAAACAAUAUCUCUUUAUAACCACUAAAAAAUUACUACUACAUGCAUGCAUUAUAAAGUUAUAAUUAAGAUUUAGACUAAUUAAUUAUUUCCUUUUAUAGUCAUGACAUUAAGAAUAUAGUAAAUUUUAUUUUCAAAUUUAUAAGUUUUUAAUUAAAUGAAAGUGAACUUUGUGUCAUAUUCUAAAAUUUUGAAUUAACUUACUUAAAACUUAUUAUAUAGCAAUAAGAUUUUUGAGAACAAGAACAAAUGUAUUAUAUCGCAUCAAAUGGUUAACAUUAUUAAAAGAAAAAUGAAAAUUCUUAUUACAUAUAUAUUCCCUACACAAGAUGUUUGACGAACAUUCAAAUUAGAUUUAGUCAUUUCAUUUCAGUACACAUAAAAUCUCUCAACUUAACUACUAUUUUCGUUUUGUGAUUGAGUUUGGAUAAUUCUUCUUUAGUCUUUUGCCAUAAUAUAAUCAAAUAAUAGGUGAUGAUAUACUAGCUACUUAAUUCACCAUAUAACCUCCUAAUAUCUCUCUUCAUUGUGUAAGUAUUUCAAUAGCAGGUUUAAGUUCAAUUCCAAGGCUUCCUAGCUAAUACUGUCAAUGACUUCUCUGUGCGGCAUUGGUUUGCCAUUAUGUUGAACCUAGAGGUAUUAUACUUGGUAAAAGAAUUGUGUAUAGUCAUUUUUUAAUAACUAAGUUGAAUAAAAAUUUCAAAAUAAUAAAUGUGUUUGAAUAUAUUUAUUUUAAUAAGUUGAAUCAAUAUUGAUCUCGGAAUGUAUGUAAAACUAGUGACAAAUUUUUUUGUUUAAUAUUUAUAUCUUGACAUGCAGAUCUUCCGUACAUCAUCUUCUUUGUUAUGAGUGAAAACUAAUUAAUAUUAAUAUAAGUAAUUGAUGUCACUUUUUAUCUAUCUUACUCAUUGUUUUGUUAAGAUAAAUUUAUCUAUCUUACUCAUUGUACACCUCUACUUUGCAACCAUCUAACUUGUAGAGAAGUGUUGAGAGAUAAAAGUUGUUUAGGUAAAAAAAAGGUACUUCAGUUUUUCUACCUAGUUUGUCAUAACUACUAGUCAAGUAGUUCGUUUUGAGUUAACUGAUGCUACUAUAUAAUGAUAUUAUUGACAUGCUAUGAAAUGAAUUUUAUUCAAAGAGUUUUCUUAUUCCUCGGACAUUCUUUAAAAUCUUGUUUACCAAUAUACUAUAUUUGACUUGUGUAAGUUUGAAGAGUUUAAAGAUCAUUGAUAAUUUUCAUUGAUACAUAUUUGAAAUAAACUCAAAUUUGAAACAUAAAUUUCAUGUAUCAUAAAGAAUAAACUUAUCAUCAAUUUAUUUAUAUAAAUUUUAACAAACCUAUUUAACAUUUACUUAAUAAUACACAAUUCAUUUUUCCAAAAUUUAAAACUUAUAUGAAUCCAUUUUUGAUAAAUUGAGAAUAAAAGCUCAGAUCAAGAAUUCAAACGGAGUUUUAUAACUAUAAAUCAAGUCAUAAUUCAUUAAUAUGUUAGAAAAUUUAUGCUUUUUGCUGAAUGAACUUUUUCCUUUUUUGUCAACUCUUUGAUUUCACUUUGCCACUUGAUAUAUUUAAAAUCACAAGAUUAAAUAACAUGCUGAUAUAUUAGUUUAAAAGAAAAUUGUAUGAAAUAACAAACUAUUAAUUCAAAUUAAAUGCUAUAACCAUAGUUUAUUUUAUUUGUAAUUCGCAGCAAACAUCCCAUUUUUUUGUCAUCUGAUUCGGUAUACAGUUAGCCAUUUUCGGUAUACAAUUAGCACUCGCUAUACAAAUGUAUAAAAUGCGUUUGUGUUUGUAUAAAACGAGAGAAAAAUGUAUAUACAAAUACAAAUACAUAUAUUUUCAUCAUAUACACUUAUAAUUAUACAAAUACAAAUCUUAUUAUACAAAUUACAAUGUAUAAAUGAAUUUAUACAAAACAGAACAAUUUGUAUAAAAUUGGAAGUAUCUAGCGAAUUAUACAAAUCAAAAGCUCCAUAGCAAACAUAAAAUUUGCUAUGGAGCGCAAUUAUACAAACUAUAGCUAUAACAUACAAAUAUGAUUUUUAUGUUUGCUAUAUAUGAAAGUUGCUCUAGUUUAAAUCCACAAGAUUGAGAUAAGUGUCAAACACACCUAAAAUAUUUUCAUUUUAUUUAGUGUCAUACCUAAACUAUUGGGAGAGUGAGUUUCAUACCUAAACCAUCACUUAUUAGUUUGAGAAACACACCUCAAUGGUGUGUGUGAUGCAUUGUCUUUUUUUAUUUGCAAAAAUCUUGCCAUGUGGCAUUUCACAUGGAUAAAAUAUUUCACCUUAUCAAAAAUUUAAUAAACUAUUAAUAUUAGUUAAAAGCUAAAAAUUAAAGUAUUCCUAUCCCAAAAUAAAAAGGAAAUUAUUUUUUUAAAAAUAAAAUUUAAAAUAUAUUUCUCACCCCACUCCACCACCUCCUUCCCACCCCGACAAACCCCCAGUUCUUUAUUUUUUAAAAUUUCUUUUGGAAAAUAUUUUUAAAAAAUUUAGACCUUACCCCUCCUCAGCCCCCUUUUUUUUAAAAAAAAUUCUACUCUACCCCAUCUAACCCCAGCUCCUAAUUUAUUUUUAUUUUUAUUUUUUACAUUUUUUUCGUUUUGUAUUAGAUAUGUACAUAUAUUUUUAGGAUUUUUAUGGGAAAAAAGACAAAUAUACCCUCGAACUUUCGUAAAUGGUAUCUAAAUAUCCCUCGUUAUACUUUUAGAAUGCUGAUGCCCCUAUCGUCUAAUUUUUGGAGCGUGUAUACCCUUUAGACUAACGAAGGGACACGUGUCAUGAUCUUUAACAACCUAUCAAAAUUAUUUAAUUUUUAUUUCCAAUUAAAUAAUCUGACCCGAAUAAUUAAAAACCCACCCAAAUAAUAUAAGGCCCACCCAAAUAAAUCCCAUUUUUCCAUUCUUCUCUAGUUCCAGCGACCAUACACCCCAAGAACCAGUUACCCAACAUCACUGCCGCAACUCCAUCUUCUCCGGCGAAGCUCCAUGUACAAAACCACCUCUAAUUGCUAUCGAACUCAACCUCCCUUGCUCUAGCGACGCUCCAACGAAAUCAGUGAGGCAUCGACCCUUCAUCCACUAUGAAACCUGACCACCACUCACCCAUCUCUCCCUCACUGCUGCUCUAACAAUUCUGGCGAAUCGAACCAACGACCUCCGGCGAAUCGAACCAGCGAACUCUGGCAAAUCGAACCCGAGGAGAAGUUGUUCGGUCCAGGAACCGUGUCUUCCCCACAACUCUGUGCCUCCUCCCUCUGCAACUACUACCAAUAUUCUUUUCCUAUUUGAUUGAAGACCUCUCACCUCUAGCUUAGGUCUCCAAAUUGUUGCCUCUCUAUAUAACAGUUCACAGAAACUGCUCAUGUUAUCUCCUCCUCAUGAGAACAUGAACACUUGCAUUGUUUCAUCAAAAUCAAUUACUACACACUGGACUGUGCGCUUUCUAUCUACCGCUUUCAUGUUCCACCAUUAGUUGGGUCUUAAAUUAUUUGGGAUUUAUUUGGGUGGGUCUUAAAUUAUUUGGGUGGGUUUAUAAUUAUUCGGAUCGGAUUAUUUAAUUGAAAAUAAAAAUUAGAUAAAUUUUUAAUAGGUUGUUAAGAUUGUGACAUGUGUCCCUCCGUUAGUCCAAAGGGUAUACACGCUCUAAAAAAUAGACGGUAGGGGCAUCAACUUUCUAAAAGUAUAACGAGGGGUAUUUAGAUACCAUUUACAAAAGUUUGGGGGUAUAAUUAUCCUUUUUCUUUGUUUUUUCUAUUUGUGUACUGAAUAUAGCAGAAGUAAAAAAAUUAUUUUUUAAAAGGUCUUGCGGCAAGUAUAUAUAUAUAACAAGGAACGAGAAAACAAUUUGGAAGUGGGGGUUAUGUGGGGUGGGGUAGAUUUUUUUUUUUUUUAAAAAUAAAAUACUAUCAUGAGGAGGGGAUGAAGUACGCUGAGAGGAAGUGAUGGAGUGGGAUAAAAAAAAAUAUUUUACAUUUUAUUUUAUAAUUUUUUUUGAGGGAAUAGUAAUACUUUAAUGGGAAAAUUGUAUAAAAUAACAAACUAUUAAUUCAAAUUAAAUGCUAUAACCACAGUUUCAUUUAAUUCCAAUCCGUAGCAUACACUUUGCCAUCGCCUCUCUCCUCAUAAAUCUCGCUCGCCACUCUCCCAGAUCUGGCUCGCCAAUCUCUCUCGCCUCUCUCACUUUAUACAAACACAAAUGUAUAAAUUGUGUUUCUGUUUGUAUUAAGCGAGAGAAAACUGUAUAUACAAAUACAUAUAUUUUCAUCGUAUACACUUAUAAUUAUACUAAUACAUAUUUUUCCUUACAAGUUCUCUUUUGCCUUUCUCUCUUUCUCACUUUAUACAAAUACAAAUUAUACAAAUUAUAAUGUACAAUUUGUGUUGUAUAAAGCGAGAGAGAGAGAGAGAGAUUUGAUAUACUAAAUUUUUUAUUUCGAUUCAGUUGUAUACAAAUUCAAAUUUUAUGCAAAUAUACAAACACAAUCAUUGAUACAUAUACAUAGUAGUUACAUAUAUACAAUUAUCUAACUGAUAUACAUAUACAAUUGAUGUGCUUUUAUACAAAAUGAGAUGUUGCCUGUGAUUUAUACAAAUCUGAUGCUCCAUAGCAAACAUAAAAGUUGCUAUGGAGCGUAAUUAUGCAAACUGUAGCCAUAACAUACAAAUAUGAUUUUUAUGUUUGAUAAACCUAAAAUUUACUCUACUUUAAUAUUUAAUUUUAACUAAUACUAAUAAUUUUUUAUUAUUUAUCGAGAUGAAAUAUUUUGUCCAUGUGGAGUGUGACUUGACAAUUUCUUUAAAUAAAAGAGAUAGUGUAUUACAGACACCAUAAUGAGAGUAUAAUAAAAGAGAGAUGUGUUUCUCAAACUAAUAAGUGAUAAUUUAGGUAUGAAACUCAUACUCUCAACAGUUUAGGUAUGAAACUAAAAAAAAGAAAAAAUAGUUUAUGUGUGUUUUUGACUCUUAUCUCCCACAAGAUUAAAAAAUAUUUCUUUAUUUUCUUAAACUCUUUGCAAGUCGAAACUAAGCAUGUUUAAAAUAUUUUUUUUGACAACUUUUUAAUUUUAAUUUUUCACCUGACAUAUUUAAAACCACAAGAUUAAAUGACAUUUUGAUACAUUCUACAUAUUUUUAGUUUAAGUCCAUAAAAUUCAAAAAAAAAUUCUUAUCCUUACAAAUCAAAACGAGACAAAUAAAUUGAAACAAGAGGAGUAUUAUCAAAUCAUGGUGUAAUAAUCCAUAAGUUACAACUCAAUCAAUAAAUUAAAUUCAAGAGUAAGUUUUUAUUGCAUGAUGCAAUGAUUACAUGGUCUUGGGGAUUUGUUACACUACAGUACCUCACCAAGCCUUUUUAUUUGUCCCACUUUGUUUACAUUCUCUGUUUUUCAAGACUUAGUAAAGAGUACAUCACCUCCAGUUUCUGGUAUUCUUUUUCUCAUUCCUUUUCUGCUUCAAAUGAAUGAUCAUCAUCCAUCCUCAUGCAUGCUUGUUUUGGCUAAAGUCUCUAUACAAAUAUUGCAAAUGGAUGAAUUUCUCUUGUUUAUGUAUAUUGCAUGUAUCACUUCUAAUGGCACAAAGCUUUUUUUUUUUCUCUUUAAGUUAAAACUCAGAGAAAGAUAUUUCAAAUGGGAAAAGAUUCAGAAAAAGAUGGGUUAAGGGUAACCAAGACCCCAGUAAAGCUAGAGGCUGAGUCCCACUUUCAACACAGUAAGCACAUUAUUAUCCUUGAUGUUAAUUAAUUUGAGACUUCAUGGAAUUAAUUAGUUUUCAAUUCCCCUGUCAUGUUGUUGUAUAUAAAAUACUAUUACUUCUCAACUUUAAUUGUUUCAAAUCACAUGCAUCAAAUGUUUUGAGUGUUUUAAUUGAUUAAAGACAAAAUACAUAAACAAACACUUAAAACUUGGCCUUAAUUGAUAAGUAGGCACUUCAAUUUUGAGUAUGCACAUUUGAACACUCUAACUUACAAAAUGAUUAUCUGAACACCUCCAUAAUUUAUGUGCCACGUCAGGGUUAGGUGUCCAUGAGACACAUUGACGACGGAUUGGAGUGUUUAGUUGCCAGUUGAGGUGUCUAACAGGGGCGGAGCCACCUUAUACUGAACCCCCUUCGACGAAAAAUUAUAUUAUUGAUAUAUGGUUAAAACAAUUUUUUAUGUUUAUAUGGUAGAUGUCGAACCCCCUUUAGCUAUUUCGUGUGUCUAUUUCUACAGAAUUUGAAUCCACUUAUUGAAAAUCCUGGCUCCGCCACUACUGUCUAGGUGUGUACUUUCAGAGUUGGAGUACUUAUAUUACUUGACUGCUGUGGCCAAGUUUGAAUGUCUGUUUAUGUAUUAUGUCAUUGAUGAGUUCUUGAUUGGUUAGUUGUAGCAUUGUUGUUGUUGUUUUCUUUUGGUGUUUCAUCAGUUCAAUGUGUUUAGUUACAUAGUAAAUGUCUUUUUUUCCACAGAUAAUAGUUAUUGGCUUCGACCAAGGAAAGGAAAGGAGAUAUUUAGUUCGGAAGCAGGUGAUUAAUCAAAUAAGUUCGAAAGGUUCUGUACUAUCGUUGGGAUUAUGUUAUUCUGCUUUACUAAUUAAGAGCAUUUUGACAGUUAAAAGGUACUUUCUUCGUCAACGGAAAAUAGUAAAGGAAAGGCUUAGCUUGGGUGCAGGUAAUGACUUCAAUUGUGAUUUGCUUAAUGAACCAAGAUUUUGUGCUUGAUGAUUAAGUAUCUCAACAUUGAGCUUGUUCCUAAUAUCGACAUAUCGUUUCUGUUGGAGAAUAUUACUGAGUUAUUUUCCAGCAGAUAAUGAAGAAAAAGACAGAUACAAAGGCUCGAAAAAAUGCUCAUCAAAAAAGCUUGGUUCAUUAUCAGUUCCUUCCAAGACUCUCCAAGUAAAAGUUUUCCCCUAUUCAUCACUGUGGAUCCUGCAUUUGUUUCACUGUCGUAUGCUAUUACUCUCCGUUGCAGGUGUACCAUAGAAGACGUAACAAGUGUGAAAAAGUUCAACCAUUAAUCAUUGAAGGGCAUAACAAGCCUGUCCAGGCAAAUGAUUCUACUACAAAUGUUGUUCCACUGUCAUCUUCUCAUCCAAACUAUGCUACUAACUAUCCGUUGCAGGUGUACAAUCGACGAUUUAAGAAGAACCAGAGAUAUAACAAGUGCAAAACAGUUGAGCCAUCCUUUCAGGAAGGGCAGAACAAGAAGCGGAAAACAUCAACAGCUUCUACUACCAAAGGUAAUGAAGACAGUGAUUUGCGUGGUUAUACAACUUACUUGGAUUUAUAAUGUGACAUAACAUUUAACAAGAAAUUAUAUAUUUCCUUUGAUGCAACUUUUUAAAGGUUUAAAGGAUAGUCCUCACAAGAAACCAAGGCUUCAAGAAUCUAGCAGUAAAAGUGGACUCAUAGUGAAACAUAAUAAGAAUUCUCAAAUCAAUCACAACAAGAAAGAUGCACAAGUUCCAACCAAUGAAACACCUAGUGACACAGACAAAAUGAUCUUGAGAACAAAAGUAAUCCUUGAUGAGGAGACGAUACGAGAAUGGAAAUUUCUGAUGGAAAAACCGGAACACAAAGGUUGCAAAUCUGAAAAGUGUGAUCAAAGAUGGGAAAUCGAGAGGACAUUGUUCCAUGGACGGGUGAUAUCAUUCAUUUCUCGCAUGCAUCUUAUUCAAGGUAUCAUUUUAUUAUUGUAUUUUAAUUAAGAUUUUCUAUGACUCUUUCCUUCAUUAAACUCAGUAUCAAACUAUGAUCUAAUUAUUUUCUUGUAUGCAACUCUGAAAGUCACAAAUGUACAUAGCAUAUGAAAACAAUAGCAAAUAUGUAACUCCACCAAUUCAAGAAAACAGAAAUAUCAUAGAAGUUUGGCAAACUAGCACAUGUUCAUAAAGUGAAGCCACCAGAAAACUUUAGAGCAUUAUAGAAAGAUCACUCUAGCAUACCAAAUGCAAGCAGAAAAACUACUGCCAACUGUUUGUAACGUACACCUUGCACAAAGAAUUCAUCGAGAACAUCAUCAAAGCAAAACUAUAUCUCCAAAGAUGAAAACACUGUUACUCAUUAAAGACUCAUCUUUUGAAGUAUCAAAAUGCCUGUUUAUGCAUCACUUGAUAUGACCACAACUCCACAAGUUCACGUGUUUCUUGGAAAUUUCUCUCAGUGAAAGUCUAACUAAGGCUCUGAUUAUAAUCUUUUCCGGCUUUUAGUGUUUCCCUAUGAAUAAAAUAUGACAAGAACCAGGUAAAUGUAAUUUGUAGAUGUUAAAGAAUGGUAUCUGCAACGAGAGUACUUCUUUAUCAGCAUAAGUAAGAUAACAAUGAGCAAACAUUUCAUUUUCUUUCAUUAUCAUGUAAAGAGAAUAUGUUUAGUCGGUGUCUUCACGAAGAUAUAACUGAGGGCAGAUUAUAUAUUGACAGGUAAUAGACAGUUCUCUCAGUGGAAAGGUUCAAUUGUAGAUUCUGUGGCUGGGGUUUUCCUGGCUCAAAAUGUCGCAGACAACUUAUCGAGGUAUUGAAGAUUGUAUGCAAGGAACUUUUCACAACUGACUAUUAAUGUGUUCAUUAAGAAUCUGAAUAGUAAUCUCAAUUUUUCUAUGCUGAUGCAUUUGCAGCUCUGCUUUCAUGUCCCUUGCUGCUCAAUAUCCUUGUAAUGAAGUCAGAUUCAAAUCAACAUUCCACAACGGAAAUGGGACGAAGCUGGAGAAAUCUUCAAAAGGAAGUUCUAAUAUUAAGAACCAGGGGAUAAUCCGAAGAACAAAUCCGAAAAGGGGUGCGAAGAAAAAGGAGACCAGAAAUCAGCAAUCUGAACCAAUCUUAAGAAGGAAAAGUCAGAAUGCAGACUUGGAAAGUGAAGCCAUUGAAUGGGAAAAUAUGAGGAAGUCAUCUUCAUUUGUUAAUCCCAAAGAGAGAAAUGAUAGCACGUUAGAUGCCAUUGAUUGGCAUGCAGUCCACGCUGCAACAGCGGAUCAAGUAUCGAAAGCUAUCAUGCAAAGGGGAAUGGACAAAAAGCUUGCACUAAGAAUUAAGGUUAACAAAGUUUGGCUAAGAAUUACUCGGCAAUCAAUCAGCAUUGUAAUAAACUAACUGCUCACUACAUGCAGAAUUUUAUCAACCGCCUGAUCCUGGAACAGGGGAAUGUGGAUCUAGAAUGGCUACGAGAAGUUGAACCAGAAAAGGCUAAGUAAUGUCUGCACUAUCUUUUUGUAUGAAUUCGAAAAAUUUGGAUAGUUGGUGAGAUAGGAAACACAUAAGUUAACUGAGAUUUGACAGUGUAGUUGAUCGAGAAAUCUGUUUCUUGCAGGGAGUACUUACUGAGCAUUUAUGGUUUGGGAGUGAAAAGUGUGGAAUGCAUAAGGUUGCUAACUCUCCAACACCAAGCCUUCCCAGUAAGUUUAUAUCGUAAAAAUGUGUUAAUGUGGUCUCUGAGCUUUAUCAUUAACACUCAUUAUUUCAUUAGGUUGAUACAAAUGUAGGACGAGUACUCGUACGACUGGGUUGGAUACCUAUUCAACCACUUCCAAGAGGACAAGAGAUGCAUCUUUUGAAUAUGUAAGAAUUUGGAUUUAUCAGCUGAUGCUGUCAAAUUUUCAUUUUGCAAGUUUUUAUCCAUGAUCCUGAAUGUCAUACUUUAGGUAUCCGGACGUCAAAGAUGUUCACAAGUAUCUCUGGCCACGGUUAUGCACACUCAAUUAUCUAACACUGUAAGGAUCGACUUGAGAAAAGCUCACCUUCAGACUUAAAGAUAUAUACUCUUAAUUUAAUAUUUGAUUAUUCUGAUAGAAUAUUAGUGACAAUCAUUCUGUAUUCCUUUGUGGUUGCUUGUAGAUAUGAAUUUCAUCAUCAGAUGAUUACCUUCGGAAAGGUUUGUUAGUUUUCAUUAAUAUUAAAUUGCUUUUCUUGAUAUUUUGGGACUGUAAUUUGUUUGCACACAGGUAUUCUGUACAAAAUCAAGCCCAAAUUGUAAUGCAUGUCCAAUGAAAGCAGAAUGUAGACACUUUGCAAGUGCUUUUACAAGGUUUUCUCUUGCUGAAAUUACCCAUAUAUUAUAUCUUUCUACAGUUGAUGCUUCUAAGUAUAUACUUCCAGAUAAACUUAAUAAUAGUUCUUCGUUCUCUUUGAAAUUAUUGCGAUGAUCUUCUUGUGGAACAUUCAGAAAUUAAAUCAGCUUGAUAGAAAUAUGUAGAAACAGUACAAUAUUCUCUUCCUAAGUAAAUCUAUUGAACAUUAAUGCAGUGCAAGACUUCCCCCGGGGCCAGGGGAAAACAGCUCUGCAAACGUUGAUACUGCUUUAGUACCAGUAGACAGUGCAUGCUCAUGUGCUGACAGUUCUCAAGCACAGCUUGUUUCUUCUUUCGGGGAAGCCUUGAAUUCGCAACAUUCAACGGGAGAUCACCAGAAUGAGCUCAUAACCUAUCCAGCACUUGAAUGUAUUGGAGAAACAGAUAUUGAAGAUUAUUGUGCCAGUGACAUACCUACCAUCACGUUUGAUAGCCAGGCAUUCAUGGAAAAUUUGUUAAGUUACAUAGAUGAGAAUGAUCUCUCAACAAAAGACACUGAUUUGUCUAAAGCUUUGGUCAUCGCCACUCAAGAAGCACCACUGCCUAAAUUGAAGCAUAUGGGUCGAUUAAGGACGGAGCACCAAGUGUAAGUUUUGUAAUAAGUUUCAUUUAUUUUCACCAUUUAAAUGACAUUACUUGGGAAGUCUAUGUGUGCACAUUAAGAAUCUUAUUAUUGAGCUGAAAAAUGGAUAUAAGAAAGUAUUUCUGCAAUAAUGUUAUAUUGGAAGAAGUUUCGUGCAACAAAGGGGAAGCACAUUCUAGAAGAUUGCGAAGAAAAUGGUGAAGUGUUUAAAUAAUUGCUCAUUAACAUUUAUUUCUUCUACGUGCUGCAGCUAUGAACUUCCAGAUUCACAUCCUCUGUUAGAAGGGGUAAGUCAGGUUACCAACAUGAAUGAAAUGAUUUAUUUAUCAUGCCUUUUGAUUUGAUGAAGUUGACUAAUGCUUAUGAAUGCAGCUAGAGAAACGAGAACCGGAAGACCCUUGCCCAUAUCUACUUGCUAUAAGGACACCAGGUCAUUGCUUCCCAAAAAUUUAUAUUCUUGAAUGGACUAAAUUUCUAUAAAAAAAGAGCACAAAAAUGUGGUCUAUGCAGGAUAAUCACAGUGAACUCACACUUCUGUACCGUACAUGAAAUGCAGCUUCAGAAGAACCUACAAAAGAGAAGUGUGAAUCCUGUAAUUGCGAUGAAACUCAAAACAAGAUCAAUGCAUCAAAUGUAGGCACAGGAAACAAUAUUGAGACUGUUAGUGGGACACUUUUGGUGAGAUUUUUUUUUAGGACUUAAUGAUUUCUCCUGGAUUGGGAUAUCAGAUAUCUCGUGUUUGUAAAACUUUUCACAUUCUAAUUUAUUUGGAUAGUUAUUUAUCCAGUAGAAACUAACUCAUAAGAUCAUCUUCAGAUUCCGUGUCGAACAGCAAAUAAGGGAAGAUUUCCACUCAAUGGAACAUACUUCCAAGUAAAUGAGGUGAAUUUUACUUUCUAUUCUUCAUUUCAUGCCAAUACAGUAAUGAAUUCAGUCAUGCAUCCAUUUCACAUCUAACUCUUUAAUGAAUUUGUUUGAGAAAUACUAAUAAUGUGAUUUACGCAGGUUUUUGCAGAUGAAGAGUCCACUCAACAACCAAUUGAAGUUCCAAGGGCAUGUAUAUGGAAUUUGCCAAGAAAGACCCUAUACUGUGGCACCUCCAUCAGAGCAAUAUUUAGAGGUAAAGACACAAUAGCUGUUUAAUUAAAUAGCCGAAAAUGCCAAAAAUUGGAUAAUUCUAUAUUAUAAAGUACAUGGGCGGAGACACCUUAGGUGUAGGGUGGUCCGGUGCAUACCCUACUCCAACAAAUUAUGUGUUGUAUAGAGGUGAAAUGUUAGUUAUUAUGUGUGUAUAUUUAAUUUUGCACACCCUCAACACAACUGAGAAGAAAGUUUGCACGCCCUUCCUCAAAUUCCCAACUCCGCCACUGACAAAGUGUCUUUUGUGAAUUCAGGGAUGUCCACAAAAGAAGUACAGAAUUGCUUUUGGAGAGGUAUGAACUGAUCUCUUUCAUAUAUAAUUGCAUCAAUUAUUUGCCACAGUUUCCAUCCUGAUAAAUGUUAGUAUAUCUUUUUCAUUAGUAUUCAACAUUCUUAUGAGAACUACCAACAAAUUUUACUAAAAACAGAAAAUAUAGAUCAUAUAUAUACUAAGAGACAUGAUCUUGUGUUUAUAACAACAUAUAUGGCAAUUAAAGAGGUACAUAUAUAAUACUUAGUAUGUAAAUAAUUAAGAUCUUACAUUGUCUAUAUGUAAAUAAAAUUUUACCCUAGCUAAACAAUGUACGUAUUACAUAUGCAACUGAAUUCACUUUUCUCAAGUAUUGCAGGAUAUGUAUGUCUGAGAGGCUUUAACCGUGAAACACGAAUACCUGGAUCUCUUCCCCUUGACCUUCAUCGUCCAAUAAGCAAGUCAGGAAAAGCAAAAAGGUUUUGAGAAUGAAAAUUGUGUACACUUUUUUGUCAAUUACACCACUUGAAUUAAGCACAGUACUAUAUGUGCCUUUUGUUUUUGUUCCCAUGCAUGCAUUUCCAAAAGUUGUAAAUUUUUUGACAUCUCAUGUCAUUCCUGUUAGGGAGUGCUAGUUUAGUUAAGAGUAAAAUGAAAAUUUAAAGCAUGUUAUCACUCCGUUCAAUGUUAUUAAUUUCAAAAUUAUACUGGAAAUGUAAACAAAAUAUAAAAGUUAGAAUAGUAAUUAAGUUCCAAGUCCAACAAAUUAAAAGAUUGUGUUUCUUUAAUCCCCUCACGAUUGUUCAAGAUUUUAGAUUAAUUCUCUCAAGAUGUAACACUAUUCUGCAAUAUUGACAUACAAUAGAAAUUCUAAAAGUUCAGGCAACUCAACAAACGGAACAUAUCACACGAUACUUAUUUUUACUUUUGAAAAAAUGGUGUAGAAAUGAUGAGAAGAAGAAGAGUUUUCUAUUUGUUUUUGUGUCUGAAAAAUGAGGCGAAAUCUUUGAAAAUUUAUAGCAGAGAAACAAGUGCAAAGAUACUUGUUCUUGAAGAAGGUAUUUUUUGUUUGGUCGUGCAUCAGAAAUGACUAGUGGAAAAAAAAUUCUGCAAAUUUAAAUUUGAAAAUUCCACGUGAAAUAAUAUCGCCAAAAGGAAAAUUAUAACAAAAAAAAAACCAUAAAUUUGGUCAAAAAAAUAAUCACAAUCAAAUCAUUUGACCAAAUUCAAAAUCAAAGUCGAAGUUGAGCCAAGCACGAGGGAAGACUCAACAAUGCCCUACCCCAUUAUUCAGUGGCGUAGCCACAUAUCGGACACCCUUUGUCAAAAAAUUAUAAUAUACAUAUAAAAAUUUGUCUAAAGUAUAUAGUUCAAAAAUUAAUUUUCACACAUAUAUAUUAAAUCUUGAAUAUUCUUAACGAAAUUUCUGACUUCGACACUGUCUCUAUUGACAAUAUUGUUAAUUUGCUACCAUUGUCUUGGAAAAAUUGAAGUCAAGACUCGUGAAUAUGAAAGUGGUCAAUUCACAACACUAUAAUGUUAGAGUUUAUGGAAUUUAGGCAUUUUACAAAAUUUUAUCAUUAAUCUGUCAUUUAUAUGCAAUAAAAUAUAAUAGCAGGUAGAAGUGGACAUGCUAUGCACAGAACCGCAUGGCCAAACCAACAAGUUUUAUGCCGAAAACUUGCAAUUGAGCUUUGUCCUCCACUAUACUGACUGUUUUUUUGUUUUUUGUUUACCUCAUUUUAGGAGCUUCCAUAUUUUUUUUCGGAUAUUGAUAAUUCGAACUCACAAUUUUAAGAUGGAGGUAGAGAUACUUACCCAUCAAUAAUCAUCAUAGUGUUAAAUCUUCGUGACUAUGCUGAUCUAAGGGCUCGAGUGCCAAAUUAGCUUCCUAUCAUUUUUUUUGUAUGAAUUUUUUUUUUAUAACUUCUAGUUUGAUUUUUAAAAAUAUUUUAAUAAAAAAUCGUCAAUCCAAACGCCUACUUAAUUUUUACACUUCUUUAUUUUUUUUAGAUUUCUCACGAGCAUUUAUAGAUAAAUAAUAAAUCUCUACGAGUCAAAGAAAUCUGAAUGAAACUAACGAUCGAUAUUAAAUGUUUCAUUUUUCUUAGCAUUAAUGGUAUAGCACAUCUCAUAUUAUUUUCUUGAAAACUAUAUUUUAGUUACAUUUUAUUAAGAUUUUAAAAAAUAUUUAAAGCACAAAUUUUAUGUUUAUGUUAUGAAGAUUUUAUUGAAGGAAACAAAAAAUUGAAAAUUCAAUUUUUUUUUGAAUAAUCUGAGAAAAAUUGAUAUAAAACAAUAUUUGUUCUUUAUUUUAACUUUUUUUUUAUAAACAUAGUUAAUUUAUUUUGAUAAUUGACGUGAAGCUGACGUAUGUGCUCCCCUAAUAUAAUAAUAUUGGUGGCUCAUCACAAACUCACAAUUUUCAACACUUCCGUUGCAAGAAUUGUUUUUAGAGUCCAUAUAGUUUUUUUUUUUAAAAAAAAAAUCAUAAGCGGGACUUGCGAUCAUGGAGAAGAAUUGACGUCCUCACUCCCAGUACCAUUAGAUGUUCUACCAGUACCACUUGAUUGAUCAACAGUUCAUUUGCCAUUAUAAAUCAAAUUUGAUAUACGUAUUUCAACACUUUUAGCAGAAGAAAAUAGGAGAUCGAUGCAAUCACAAUCUCAAAUCGAAGAACAAUUUCUUGAAUUCGACAAAAGCAAAAGAAGAAGAAGAAAAUUACAGUGUGUAUGAAAAGAAAAGUAAAGAGUUAUGUAGACAAUACCUAUCAAAACGAGUUGAGCUCUGAUACCAUGCCAACACCAAUGCACAGAGGAGUAAAAUGACUUCCAUAGACACCAUCCAUAAGGAUGUGAAUGAAGUAGAACAUUGAAAUUGGGGAAAAUCAAUCUAAUCUAUUUCAUUGCAACUGUACACGUAUUUAUACAAGAAGAGAAAGAAAUAUCUAACUUGUAACUACCUUAUAACUGUCAAUGAGCAGGAAGCUACAACUCACACUAACUAACAAAAUAACCAACUGGUCUAACUAACUAACUGAGAAUUAAUUAACUAAUAACAUUUAAUUAACUAAUCUAUUCUCAAUAAUACUUAUAACAUAAAAAAGAUGUUACGAAAUUAUGCAAUGAAAUUCAGUAGCAUUUAUUUACUUCUUUAAUUUUUUCACUUCAUCAUUCUUACAAGAUGCAACACCCGGAAACUAGUAAGUUAAACUAGAGCUUUACGUGAAAGUUCUAGAGUUUGAUGUGUGGGUUAGAAUCGUAAAAUGACUUUCUGUACUUAGAAUAAAUGUUUUAGGGCUAGGGCGUCAAGGUACGACCCCCCAAGGACCAACCAAGGGUCCUUGAGGGGGACCCAAAACAGUCCCUAGAAGCUGCCCAAAAACGGGCCACCUACGGAUGGGACUCACGCCCUGUAGGUGGACCCACGCCCCGUGGGAAGAGGUCGUGGGUCAAGGCCCCAAGUUGUUGAGUUGCAGGCCACCACCUACGAAGGAGCAGCACACUCCGUGGACCCUGUCACGGUCCAUGGGUCGGGGUCUCGUGGGUUGGGGUAAUGUUGGUCCUAGACGGUUUAAGUUGGGGACUUAGAGGUUAGUCCAUAAUUAGUUAGAGGUUAAGUGGUGUCAUUUUAUUAGUAAUUAGACCACCUAUAUAAACCUAAUAGACCCCUAAACUAAAUCAAUUAAGUCAUUCUUCCAAUACCCCAAAACAAACCCAAUUCCCUCCAAGAAAACUUCUCUCUAGAAAACUCAAGAAGAAGAAGAGAAGCAAUCUAGGUCAAAGUCCUCCAUUGUUGCAAACAUUAUGAGGGCUUUAUAAUCAAGGUAUGUUAGCUUAUUCAUUCAUGGAUACUUCCAUCCAUGUAGCCCCUUAGAAUUCCCCCAAUUGUGAAGAUGAACCCCAUCUAAGCUAGGGUUUCUUCCUAUGUUGUGGGUAGUGUUGAGUAUGAUUCCAAUUGAGUGGAUAGUACUUGUUUAUGAUUGAUUUAGUAUUGAAUUAAGAUAUUAUUAUGAUAUUAUGUGUUUUCCAUAGUUAACCCUAGUCUAAUUGAUGAAAUUGGAGAAUGUGGGUUUAUGUCUUGUGAGGGAAAAUUGAGGAUUCAUAGGUGAUCUUCUAGAAUUGAUUACAUGUAUAGAAAUUGAUCAAGAAUAGAAUUAUGUAAACAUGAAUUGAAUUAGAUUAAAAGAUUAUAUGAUGGAUCUUAACUAGUGAUGAGUGAGAUUGAGUCUUUAUGAUGAUUUAUGACUAGAAUCACUUGAUAAUAAAGAAUAUGAUUAGAAAGUCUUGAAAUCUAGGUAUGAAUGGUGAUUGUAAGAAUUAAAGCUUUGAAUGUAAGGCUUGUAGUCAUGAAUGUUGGUCACUAGGGUUUUGAGAGUAAAGCCAAUAUGAUGAACUAUGUAUGUUAAGGCUUUGAGAGUAAAAUCUAUAUGAGAAUAAAAAGCUAAUGAAUAAAAUUGGAUAUGAAAUACUUUUACCUACCUAAUCUACCUCAUGAAUGUUUGAAUGCAUAAGGUGAUAGAAUCACAUGAGUUAAGAUGAUAUCCAUGUCUAGUGCUUGAAACCUAAGGGUGAUGAUUGAAAGUAAGUCUUGAACCUCAAGGAGGUGAAUUAGGAGAUUGUACUUAUAGUAAUUGAACUAUUUGAAUCAUGUUAACAUCCAUGUCUAAUGUAGUAAUUCUAGAUGUGUUGAUUGAAUAUGACAUAUGGUCCUUGAAGGGCAAAUUAUGAGAAUUAUGCAUGAUUAUGAGAUUUAUGUAUAUGCUUUAAGAACACUUUGAGAGUGAAGUGUCUAUGAUUAUGAUGAUGUUGUUGUGUUGAUUGAAAGGCUAUUCUCAUGAACACACAAUGAAUUAAUAUAAUGUGAAAGGUUUUCUCAUAAUAUGAUGAUUCUAAGGUUGAAAGGCUAUUCUCACCUAUUGAAUCUUAUGAAUUAUGAUGGAUUUAGUGUCAAGGCAUUCUUCCAUGACUAUGAACUUAAGUCAAGAAUAAUAUGUACCCCGUGGGAAUUAUGCUUAGCACCGAGUGGACAUUGAAUAUGAGAUCGAAGCUCCCCCGUUAGAAAGAGCGGGUUUCUAGAAAGUAUCUCAUGAGAUCGAAGCUCCCCCAUUAGAAAGGGCUGGUUUCUAGAAAGUAUCUCCUUGGGAUGGAAGCUCCCCCGUCAGAAAGGGCGAGUUUCUAGUAGCAAUCCACAUAUCCCAUAUACUACGUGCCCCCGUAGGUUAUUUAGCUAUUGAAUCCACCUAAAAGCUAAUAUAUGUUAGUUCUACCUUAGGCAAGUAGGACACCUCUUUUCAGUGUGGGCAUGACACCCGAUUCCCAUGCUAAGCUCACAUGGUCUAUGUCGGUUAAGGCUUAUUCCCACUAGAAUAAGAAUAUGAAUUAUGAACUAUGAUUACUCAAGAAGCUUUACUUAGUGUGUGUGAGAGUAUGAGAUCUUAUUCAUGCAUUGCACAAGUAUGCUUUGAGGGUAGUUGUGGUAUGUUACUUUUAUGUUAUGAUGGUCUAUGUGAUGAAUAGACUUAUGACUUAUGCUUAUGACGUAUGCUUAGUUUGGAUUGUAGCUUGAAAGGCCCUUCCAAUAUAUGUGUGACUAAAUGUGAGUGUUCCCUUAUCUAUGAGAACAAAAGAUGAUAAACAUGAAUGAAGAACCUAAAGUGUCGAGCUUAGCAUGGAUAAGAUUAUGGGGUCUUGUUCAUGCAUGGCACAAGCUUGCCUUGAGGUGACUCAUGAAGUGUUUCUCUUAUAUGAUGUAUGCUUAGAUAUGAUUGUGCUAUAGUUGCCUUCCUUGUUAUGUUAUAAUUGACUAAAAGUGAGAGAUUUCCUUGGUUAUGAGAAUUAUACUAAGGAUGAGGUCCUAAGAUGGUAAGUAUGACUAUGAUGACCAAAGGGGAUACUUAGCAUGUAUAGGAUUAUGGGAUCAUAUCCAUGCAUUGCACAAGUAUACUUGGAGGUUCCUUAUGAAAUGGUUCUCUUGUGUUAUGAAAGUCUAAGUAUUGACUAUAUAUAUGAACUAUGCUUUAUGAUGACUAAUGUUUACAUUAUGUUUAUGUUGGAAAUUAUGCUUAUGAAUAUGCUAUUGCCUCUUAUGAUUUUGGCUUAUGUAUUAUAUUGACCAACUCUUAUGUUAUGCUCUUAUGAUGUUAUGCUAGAUAUCAUAUUUAGUACUUUUGUACUAACGCAUACUUUUGCCUACAUUCUUAUCAAAUGUAGGGUUCGGUGAUUUUGAGUUCCAUUCUUGAGGAUAUGUUUCUAAGGAGCAAGGGGUUGAAGACUUGGUGAGUCCUCAUAGCUUCGGGGACAACACCACCAUUUCCUUAAUGCCUUUCUUUAUGUUUUGAGACUAUUGUAUGGGCAGCGUCCCAAAGGUUUUAUUCAAAGUUGAGUUUAGAUGGUUUGAGACAAAGUGUAGUAAGACUUCCGUUUGCUUUUAUAGAAGACUUCGAUUGUAUGGAUAAAGUUUUAAAAUUUUCCGUACUUUUCUAUUAUCUUAUGUUAUGAUAUGCUAAGGGAUUGUAUGAGACCCCUUCGGGGUCAAAUACGUCAUAUUACAUCUAGGGUGUACCCCUGGGUCAUGACACAAGAGGAAGUUCUAGCUAAAUUGAAAGGCACUUCAUGAUUUUUUAUUUUUUUUUUAUUUUUAAAUACACUUCAUGCAUUAGGUAAGCCAUUUUUGUGGUUAUACUAUAAAUAGUAUUUCCUCUUCUAAAUUUAUUUAUUUGAUUUUGAUUUGACACGAAGUUUAAGAAAAUAAAAUUAAAAUUAAAAUUUUGUGACCUGAAAUCAAAGAUAUGUAGUUUUAUGAUCUUAAACAUGUCAUACUGAAGUUGAGAUUAAAAAAUCUCAUAGGAAAGAAAUAUAUAUUUUUUAAAAUGGACUAAAAAUAAAAGUAAGAUAAACAAAUUAAAACAAAUGAAAUACUCUAUUUUAAUAUAUUUUAAAAUAAAUAUUAUUUUUUAAUUUAAAUAUAUAUAAUUUAAUUUAAAAUUUUCUCUUCUUAUCUUGAACGUAACUAUUCAUAACCGUAUAAAUAUCUAAAAUAUUUAUAUACUCAAACGUAUCAUCGAUCACUACAGAAAUUGAGAUGGAUGGUGUACAAUAGACUUCCUCAUAAAAUAAAGAUUUUAAUUCAUUGGCAAUUGGCAGUGAGUAAGCAUGAAAAUCAUACGUUUUCAUAUGCAUACAUGCAAAGCUGAGGAUCAACCACGAAUGCACAUAUGACAAAUAGGUCUCCGUCUAUAAGUAGGCGCGAUAAAAAAUUACUGACGGACACAAUUUUAUAGUUAAACAGUAAAAGAAUUUAUAUUAAUCUCAUUUAGCUAUGAAUUAACUAUAAAUUAUUAAAGAAUUCAAUAUAAUUACCUAAAAGUGUUUAAGCAAUGAAUUAACUAGAAAUUUUAUAAUUAAUUUGAUGUUUCUUGUAGUAGUGUCAAUUCCUUGUGUCACUCCUAGCUGUUUUUAUAACAUCAAUGCAACAAUUUCCUAAAUUUCAUGAGUUUCCUCUCUUAAGUCCCCACUCCCCUAUUUUCCUCCAAAAUCAUCCUUCACUCUUGGGAAAGGCCACAUUUUGUCUCCUCCAAUAUUUUAUUCAAUAUUCACACCGCCACAUUGAUUUCACCAAUAUAAAAGCAUCUUAUUUUUAUUAUUAAGUCCUACCAUAUAUUCUUCAUCUAAAGAUUGAAAUAUUUAGAAAUUAAUGGUGGAAUUUGAAGAAAUUAUGGAGCCUUUGAGCCCGAUAAACAGCGAAGAGAUUAUUGAGGAUGAAGAAAUCAACUACGAUGAUCUGAAACGUCGUAUGUGGGAGGAUCGCAUGCGAAUGCAAAUACUCAAGAGGGACAUGAUCAUCAACUCUACUAGCGAAGAAUUAUCACUUGAUCAGGAGUCAGAGGAGGAGUCAGAGGCUAAGCAAGAACAAUCUCGCCGUAAGAAGAUGUCUAGAGCUCAAGACUCCAUCCUCAAGUACAUGGUCAAAAUUAUGGAGAUUUGUAAAGGUCAAGGCUUCGUCUAUGGGAUAGUACCCGAAAAGGGGAAGCCCGUGACGGGGUCAUCGGAUAGUUUAAGAGAGUGGUGGAAGGACAAAGUGAGGUUUGAGAAGAAUGCCCCAAAUGCUAUCUUGCCUAAACUAGUUCAAGAAAAUCAUGUUAAUUCAUGCAUGGAUCUUCUAAAUGACUUGCAAGAUACUACUUUGGGUUCACUCCUUUCAUCUCUUAUGCAACAUUGUAUUCCUCCACAAAGGAGGUUCCCUUUGGAUAAAGGCUUAGCUCCACCAUGGUGGCCUACAGGGAAGGAACUAUGGUGGGGUGAUCAAGGGUUUUCACAACAACAAGGACCACCACCAUAUAAGAAGCCUCAUGACUUGAAAAAAGCAUGGAAGGUUAGUGUUUUGGCUGGAAUUAUCAAACAUAUGUCGGUUAAUUUCGACAAAAUGAGGAUGUUGGUGAAGCAAUCAAAGAGCUUGCAAAACAAGAUGACGGCUAAAGAAACAGCUACUUGGUCUAAAGUGGUUAAUCAAGAAGAAGUCCUUGUCGAGAUGACCCAAAAAUCUCUCAGGAUCAUUUCGAUAUCAAAAGAGGAAGAAGAUGAUGAAUAUCUUGCUUUGAGGAGAAAAGAGAAAAGGAAGGGUACUGUGUUUGAGAGCGACAUAGACAUUGAUGAUAUGUUAUAUCAAAACUUAAAUUGCGUGCAAAGUGAGUUAGGAGUUGGAUUUUAUCGCACUAUGAAUGAACAACAAAGUGUCAGGGGAGAGGACGAGUCACUUAAUAUGUUCAUGAGCAAUUUUACUAGCUUGAUUGGAAGACAACCUAGACCACACGAAGAAAUAAUGGUUGGUGAUGAUCAUCAUGGCGAACAUGAUUGGGUGAACAUGGAGAUAAAAAGAACCUUCGAGAACUACCAUAUUGCACAAAAUGCUAAUGGAGGAUCAGUUGAGGAGAAUUUCCAAGGCUUUUGGGGAGACAAUAAUAAUGUCCUUCAUUAUGGAAACAUCAUGAACUUGAAUGAUACACCAAAAGAAAAUGAACAGCAUCAAUCUCCCCUCUCUGUUUGGGAUUUGGCAUAUGAGGAUACAUCGGAAUAAAUCUAGCUUUAGCUAAAAUAAAUAAUUCGCGUGUGUGUGUGUUUUCCCUAGAUUACUCGCAUUUCAUGUUUUAGACACGGUUUAUCAUAUAAAUAAACUACGUACUAUAGCGUCAUUAUCUUUUCUUAUUUGCUCUUUUUUUUUUCAAUUUCCCCCUUUGAUGUUAUCAUGCUUUACAACUUGAUGGGAUAAUUAAUAGGGGGAAUCCAUCUUUAAUUUGUCCCUCAAGUUACAACAUACAACAUAUACCUAAUGAGGUUAGAGGUAGUUAAUUUCCGAUAUAUUGUCCCAAGCUAGCUAGAGAAAUAGAAGAAGAUAUUUAUUAUAGUUAGAGUGGUACUGUAUUUCAAUAAUCAUAAAAGCUGUGUCUCUGGGGUAUAAAAUCGUCAUAGUGAUCCAUCCUAUUAGCAAUGCAAGAAAAGCCCUUUCUAAAUUUGGAGUUAUUCUUCUUGACUAGCUCUGCCUCCACCUCUACAUCCACCGCGAAAACAGAACAAACUGGUCUAUGAUCUGAAAAUCUUGAUUCCCCUCGAAUAUAAGAUAAUUGUUCAAUGCCAUCGCCUCGCCAUAAUAUUCUAUCACACCUGAAAUUAAUUAGUACUAUAAAUCAUGAGGAGGAUAAUUAAGAGAUGAAAAGGUAAGAGAUAUACCAUGCAGGGGUUCUUCGUUUCUUCUUAGACUUUGUUGUCUCUCCGGCAUAGGAAUCAGAAUUAUGAGAAUACUUAUAUGUUGGAGCGAAAAGGAUCUUCCCUUCUUUCCACCCACUAAACACUCUUCCUGAUUCUCUCUCCACAUUCAACUGUCACCAACAUAAAUAUGAACCAACGAUUUAGGAUACAAUAUUGCACUCACUUUAAAACUACGAAAAAUUAAUUCCCCCUUUUUGAGGAAAUAGUACAAUAUAUCCCUUGUAGUUCAAAUUAAAAAAGAAAAAAGCACCAAACCUGAUCCUUUUCCAAAAGAGAGUCCCAGUCAUUAUCCUCUAAAAGAAGCCUUGUUUCUUCAUAGCUCAAAGACACUCGAUAGUUCAAGUCUCCAAGCCAUAUUGCACGCCUGAAAUUUAUUCAGCUCUACAAUAUAUAAAUGUGAUAUUGAUAAUAUUGAGUGAGUUCGUUGGACAAAAACUCCAUACGCCUCUUGGUAUAAUAAGUAGUAAUUCUCUAGCUAGCUCAUAGUUAUUAGUAAUAUAACAAACACAAAGUGUAUUGAUUGGGAAAAGAAAAUAACUUACUGGUGAUCAGUAAUUUUUUCUGCGAUUCCUCUAUCGGGAUUCCUACAAAUUCUGGAAAAUUGUAUGCUUUUAAGAAUCUCAGCAACAUCUGCAUUUCUUCUUAGCUCAUCUCCUUCUUUCUCCCCAGACGCUAAGUGACUGCACACAAAGCAAAAGCUCGUCCGAUACAAUGACAUGCUUAUUGCUAUACACCCCUGCAUAUUAAAUUACAAGAUUUGAGGGUAUAACUUUAGGUACGAAUAGUCGAAUAUGGGUAUAGGGAUUUGGCUAAAAAUAGAGUUUUAUGUCUAAAUUAUGUAGAAAACUAACAAGGUAUCCCGAGGAGAAAAUAUUGAGAAUAUCACAAGGAGAAUAAGGAAAAGGACUUGACAUAAAUAAUAAUAAUUAUAUACUCCCUAGGUAUUCUGAUCUAUUUUCUUCAAUUUCACCAUAGGGGUUUAUUUGAUUAUGUACGGAAAUCAUUGUAUCUAUUCAAAAUUUCUCCAUCGAUUCUAGUCAAAGUAUCCAAAAUUAAUUGACUAGAACCAAUACUAAUCCCAUACCCACACCUAUGUCAUGUAAACAUGGGUGUGAUGCCAAAAAUGAGGAAUCCAAACAACUUAGAUAUUCACAAUUUGAAAUUUAUGGACUUCCUACAACAACCUCAAAUUAUAAGUAUACAAUGAGUAAUAGUUAUAUUUACAAUCAAAUAUUUAUAAAUUUUAAGUGAUACUUAAUACAUAUAUAAGACAGACACGAAGACACACAAAAAAAUUGUACUAUUUACAAAAGUUUUUAAAAUCUCUUGGCAUAAUCUUUUUUCCCCCUAAAUUCCUAACUCCGACAUUAAUAUAAGGUAUUUGCAAAAGUUACUGAAUUCACGAAAGCUAUUUCCCAAAGAAAAUGUGCUUCUUAACAAGCAACAUUGGUAACACGAAAGCUCAUUUCUAUCAUAUUAAAUAUUCCAAUCUACUAUACCUACCAUAUUCAAAUUGGAAAAAAAAAAAAAAAGGAAGAUUGAAUAGAAUAGUCAAAUAUCAAAAAAGUUUCUUUCACAAACCUUAUUUCCAAGACAACCCAUGAUACCUCUACCAAGAGAAGAUAUUCUGAGAUGUCCAAUAUGUUGUGCUAACUCUUUUCGUGCCCAAACUGAAAGGAAAAUCCCAACCAUUUGCUUGCUUGAUAUAAGAUGAUAACUCAAACCAUAAUUAGUACAAGGAAAUUUCUGAGCAAUCGACUGUAAAUCGUCUUCGCGAAAAUGUGUCAAGAGAGAACAUGAAGGAUCACUAAGCUUUCUCAAACGUCUUGUUGUUGAAGGACAAUUACAUGUCUUGAGGAGGUUACUAUUAGCCUUUAAACUCUUUUUAACAACUUUAAGAGAAUGCUUAUUGAAUAAACUGUUGGAUUUUGAACUGCUUGAAUCAUCAUGAUUAUAUGAUGAUUUGUUAAGUGCAUGGCUUAUAAGUGCUAGCCAUCUUGCUGCUGGUUCACUAUCUUCACUCACUAAUACAUUUCCUGCAUUUAAGGGUACAAUUUCUUGAAACCUGAAAAAUAAGGCAUGUCACAUCUUGUAAGGCCCUAGAUAAAUACUCACUCCGUUUCAAUUUGUUUGUCUGAUUUUGAUUUGACAUCACGGAAUUUAAGAAAGUAAAGAAGACUUUUGAAUCUUAUGAUUUUCAACUAAAGAUAUGCAUGCCGACUGUACCAAAAUAUUUUUUAAUCUUCUGGUCUGAAACAUGUCACGUGUGAAAAGUUAAAAUGAAAAAGUUGUCAAAAAAGGGAAUGCAUUCCCGUUGAGAUGGACUAAAAAGGAAAAUAAGACAGACAAAUUGAAAUAGAGGACGGAGUAAUAGAUGUUGAAGUUAUCAUACCCCAAAACAUAUAUAUCUGCAGAACCUUCCACUUGCAAGAAAUCUUCAAGAUUAAGUCCAUGAUUAGGAGUUUUUCCUCCUACAUUCCAUGUCCCAGCAAAAACCCUAAAAUUUUCCAGUCACAUAUAUAUAUAUAUAUACAUAUACAUACAUAUCCUAGUUAAUUAAUUCUAGUAAGUUAACAAUUCAUUUGUAAAUCAAGAAAAAUCAUACCUAAUAUUUUUAAUCAUAGUAGCAGGUUGUGUUGACUGAUCAAAAUUGGAAAGAUUUAGGCCUUCAAUCCUUGCACUAUUAUGCCUUGCUGAGAGUAGAUAAGAAAUUAGUAUCAUGGUUGUUGUGGUUUGGAUUUUCUUACAAUCUUCAGUUUGAAAUUAAAAGGUAUGGAUUUUAUAGGGAAAUUUAUCAAUAGGUACCGUUCGGCCAAAUUUAUUUAUCAACAUGAUCAAAAUAUAUACUGAUUAUGUAUAUAUAUUAUAUGUAUAUCGUAUGUACUCAUGUAUAUAGAUACUGACAGAAGUGUUUGGAGCGGUAAGAUCCCUAUUUUAGAUAUAUAACUUUUUUCAGUGGGCAAAGUCCUCACAGGUCAAAUUUCUACACAAGAAAAACUACUUCCACGUUAUUUUCAUUUUACAACAGUAUAGUGAAAAGAAAUAGUAUUUGCAAAUAAUCAAAAUACAAUUUAGUCUUCUGUUAGGUGAGCUACCAAUAUUAUGCUAUAAAUGAAGCUAAGCAGAUUAUGGAGAAGAUACCUAAUUAAGUGUACGUGGCUAACACACAUUAAAUGAUUGAAAUUUCUUAAUAUUAACGCAUCUACACGCAUGCUGUAUUUAUAUUAAAUCAAUGAAUGUAAUAUACGUGCUUUUAUUAAUUUAACCAUGAUUAAGUGUCAUAUUUUCUCUCAACAAACUGAUAAAUUUUAAAGAGCAUCGGUUAGGAUAAACAUCUAGUGAACAAAGGAGAAUUUGUAAUACUGCAAUCGGAUACAUCUGAAUUCAAUACUUUCGAUACACAAUUGUAUGUAAAUAGCUUACUAAAAUUGCAACAUAUAGUAAGUUUGAGCUUAUAAUUUAAAGAACAUAAUGUAUUCAAUAUUGAUAACCUUAAAGAAUACCCCAUAAAUAUUUAUUAUAAACCUGGUGUUGUAUACGUUUGAAUUAAAAUGGCGUGUAAGACUAAAUGCACCAUUAACUAUAGCUAUAUAUUGAUAACCUUAGUCAAAUAUGUAAAUGAAGGGUGAAAGGUGACGAAGAAAGUAGAGAAAGACGACUAAUUACACGAGAUACAUGUCAUCUCUCACCAGCAACAAGUAUUAGGUAACUCUGUCCACCAAAAUUAGAAUAGAUAAGAAGAACCACCUAGCUAGUGUUUUUUAAAGACCUCGAGAUUCUCAACCACUUCAUUGACCACUAGACCACACUCUUAAAUAUAUGAUAUUGUUUUUCCUCAUAUAACAACCUAGAUUAAAAAAAGACUUGUAGAAUCAUCAAAAGCACAAAUAUAAAACUUUAUAUCUAGAUACGUUACUUUAACAUGAACAUACGUACAAUGGAUAAAUUUAAAUAAUAAAAUUCCAUCAUGCACAAGAAAAGUUCAUAAAAAAUUAUAACUAUUUCUCAUGUAAUUUAAUACUAAAAACAAGUUGGUGAUGAUGAUUCCUACCUGUAAAACUUCCCUUUACUGAAGGAGAAGUUUCAAAUAAAACUUUUCUCCUUGAUAUAAUCUUCCAAUCCACUUCAAAAAAUAAAAUAAAAAAUCAAUUACAAUAUAAAAUAUAUACAUAAAAUUCAAAAAAUAAAAUAAUAAUUGUAAAUCAAACCUUGAUCAUUUUUUUCUGAUUGUGUUACAUCCUCUUCAAAACUUCCUCCAAUGCUUUUUGAAUUAAUAAGCUUUGGUAUGCCAGACUUUUAUUCAAACAUCAUUAAAAAAAUAUAUAUCAAAAAUUUAUUUUAUUUUAAAAAAAAAUCUUAAAAUAAAUAAAUUGUACCUUGUUCCUUUCAUGACCCUUGACACAAUUGUCAAGGGUGGUGGUUGUGGUGGGGGGGACGNNNNNNNNNNNNNNNNNNNNNNNNNNNNNNNNNNNNNNNNNNNNNNNNNNNNNNNNNNNNNNNNNNNNNNNNNNNNNNNNNNNNNNNNNNNNNNNNNNNNNNNNNNNNNNNNNNNNNNNNNNNNNNNNNNNNNNNNNNNNNNNNNNNNNNNNNNNNNNNNNNNNNNNNNNNNGGUGGUACCGCCGCCGCUGGCGGUGGUUUUAACGACGACGGCAGCGGCGGCUUCCGCCUUAAUCAUGUGGAUGCUAUCAUCAGAUUUACAACACCUUGUUGGAGACGACAUUCAAGAUUAUAUAAUGUUGGAUUAAAUUAAUAAAUCCACAAUUCCAAAAUUGGAGUCAAAUCUAAUUUCUUCUUAUAAAUUAAUUAAAGAAAUACUAAUUAAUUUUAAUAAUAAUCUAUUAAUGCACAGAACACCAAAGGUAAAAUCCAAGAAAAACUUUUAUUGAUUCCUUUCUUGUUGUCUACCUAAAUUUCUGUGUUCUUUUUUGUUAUGUGCUUUGUGUUUGACUUUGUAUUUCCUAAGCUUUAAGCUUUUUUUUGUUUCUAUAAAAAAAUAUUUUUAUUGUUAACAAAAUGUAAUUAAAAUGCUUCUUUUUUUUUUUUUUACUUUUAGGGUUUUAUUUUUUUAAUUAAAAAAUAGUUUUUUACUUUACAAAAAAAAAAAUUAGAUGGAAUGAGAGCUUGGCGCCAAAUCUUUCGGAGAUUUUGGGGCAAAUGGUGAUUAAGCGGUUAAUGCAUCAUUAUCAACAUAUGUCUCUCUAAAUUUUAUUUAUUUUUUCCUUUUGAUUAACAAAUAUGUUUAAUUAAAACUUGUGUUUGGAAAUGAAGUUGUGAUUUCAAAUUAGUAUAUUAAAUAGAGCAACUUUCACAUAUAGCAAACACAAAAUUCAUAUUUGUAUGUUAUAGCAAAGUUUGCAUAAUUGCGCUCCAUAGCAAACAUAAAUAUGUAUAUUUCGCUAUACAUAUACAAAAGAAAGCAGUUGUAUAAUCUGCUUUGGUAUACAUAUACAAAAAUAUCAAUUGUAUAAAGUGAGAGAGGCGAGUGAGCGAGCGAGAUCUGGGAGAGGGGAACGAAAAUAUAUGUAUAUAUACAAUUUUCUCUCGCUUUAUACAAACACAAACACAUUUUAUACAAUUUGCGUUUUUUGUAUAAAGUGAGAGAGGCGAGUGAGAGAGCGAAAUCUGGGAGAGUGGCGAGCGAGAUCUGGGAGAAGGGAGAGAGGGGAACGAANNNNNNNNNNNNNNNNNNNNNNNNNNNNNNNNNNNNNNNNNNNNNNNNNNNNNNNNNNNNNNNNNNNNNNNNNNNNNNNNNNNNNNNNNNNNNNNNNNNNNNNNNNNNNNNNNNNNNNNNNNNNNNNNNNNNNNNNNNNNNNNNNNNNNNNNNNNNNNNNNNNNNNNNNNNNNNNNNNNNNNNNNNNNNNNNNNNNNNNNNNNNNNNNNNNNNNNNNNNNNNNNNNNNNNNNNNNNNNNNNNNNNNNNNNNNNNNNNNNNNNNNNNNNNNNNNNNNNNNNNNNNNNNNNNNNNNNNNNNNNNNNNNNNNNNNNNNNNNNNNNNNNNNNNNNNNNNNNNUUCAUAGCAAACAUAAAUAUGUAUAUUUCGCUAUACAUAUACAAAAGAAAGCAGUUGUAUAAUCUGCUUUGGUAUACAUAUACAAAAAGAUCAAUUGUAUAAAGUGAGAGAGGCGAGUGAGAGAGCGAGAUCUGGGAGAGGGGAACGAAAAUAUAUGUAUAUAUACAAUUUUCACGCAUUUUAUACAUUAGCGUUUUUGUAUAAAGUGAGAGAGGCGAGUGAGAGAGCGAGAUCUGGGAGAGGGGAACGAAAAUAUAUGUAUAUAUACAAUUUUCUCUCGCUUUAUACAAACACAAAUGCACUUUAUACACUUGCGUUUGUAUAAAAAACGAGAGAGGCGAGGGAGAGAACGAGAGUGGCGAGCGAGAUUCACCAGGAGAGAGGUGAAAUAGCAACAUUUUGCUAUGAGGUACAAUUAAAUCAAACUAUAUUUAUAGCAUUUAAUUUGAAUUAAUAGUUUGCUAUUAUAUACAAUUUUCCCUAUUAAAUAAGCGUUUGAAUAUGCAAUUUGGGAUCAUAAUUUUAAAUUUUAAAAAAAUGAAUUUGGGAUUCUAAAUUUUGAUUUUAAUUUAUUUUUUUAAAUGUAAAAUCCCCCCAUAAGUUUAUAGUUUGUACAAAUAGAUUCAUUAUUUUAAUUUUGUGAAAAAAUACUCAUGUUCAGCAUCAAAAAAUUAUUUGUUUAUGUGAAAAAAUCAUAUUAAAGAUUAAUUAUUACUACUUAUUGAUUAGUUGAUCUUUAUAAACAAUGCGUAUUUAAAAAUUUGCAAUCAGAAAUAUUUAUUUAUAAAAGAAAUAUGAAGACGACUCUUGGAAGAUCUUAUUAGAAUUACCUAAUUGGAAACCAAUAGCUCUCACACGAAUUUUAUAUUUGUAUUAAAAAAAAGAGUAAAAUAUUUUUAAAAAUGACUUGAGAAACCACUGACAAAUGUGUUGUUUGAUCUCAAAAAUGCAAUAAAUUCAAAUGGUAAAAAAGUCUGAAAUAUUGAUUUCAUCAAGUUUACUUAAUUUUUUUUAAAUUCGGGUUAGUGUUUGAUCACUCUACGUACAUCUCGAUUAAUUCAAUGACUUAUUAUCUCUUGUUUAAUUUGUAAUGUCAUUCUCACUCUACUACACAACUUCGUGAUAAUUUGGUAUAGUACAUGAGAAUAAUAUUAAAUAUAAUGUAAAUAUUACUGAAAUUAGUAAUGCGGAGAUUAAUUAAACAAAAUAUUAUUUUAUUAUCUACUAUUUAAUUUGGUGUAUUAAAAAAUAUGUAUUGCAUAAUUACUAAAAUAAUUAUUUGUUUAUGAAAAUAUUCUCCACAUUCUUUAACUUUAUACACUCUGAAGAGCAAUUAUAUACUUAUACUUGGUAUCAAAAACUCUUAUAUUGGUAAUAUCAUGAUUUAAUAUGUAUUAAUCAUACCUACCUAAGAUAAUAGCAAAACUAAUAUUUUUUUCUCUAAUACAUCCCACCAAACGAUACUAAAAGAAAUCAACGAUAGAUAGUAAAAGACAAGAAAGUACAGAUGACUAUCAAUAUAAACGGACAACAGGACAAGUUCAAAAAGUUAAUAUUAGUUGCAGUAGUAACUUUUUGCAUACAUCCUCCUCCCUGUACCGCUGCUAUGAUAGAGAAUUUGGAUUGUACAACUAAGAAUAGCCACAUUCUUGGACCCAUCUACCAUGGAAUUUGAGAUUAGACAAGCUAAGCUUGUCCUAAAGACAAAUGAUAUAGAAGCUGAUCAAAAGACAACCAAACCAACAUACAUGACAAAACAGAAAAAAGAUCCUUAAUAAACAUAUAGAAAUAAUCUUCCAGGACCAAAGAAAUGGAAAUUUUGAAAGCUGUUGUUGCCAACGAACAUUUUUCUUGGGCUGUCAACCUAAUCUGUAACCUAAACCCUCCAUAGAAAACAAUUAUAUCUUAAGGUAAAUGGGAGAAACCCUGGCUAAAGGAACAUAAAAAUGAAUUCACAUAGUUCCUCAAAUAACCAUAGCAGAAAACAGGCAAGUAGAAAUCAGCUUUUGAUCUGAUAUCCCCUGUUCUGCAAGAAGUCCUCAUCUUGUGUUGCCAGAUCUCCGCUGGUGUAUUCACUUGACCAUAACGAGGGGCUCAAUUUGUGUUGAGAAACACUAGAAAUUGACUGUCACAGCAUGUAGCUACAGAAACUUUCUUCCGUCAUGGCUCUUGUGUUUCUCAGGAUUAUUGACGACUCAAGAUACCUCAAUGAAUUUCCAGCAACAUGAACAUAUUUAAGCUUGCAUGAUAGCUUUUUCUUUUCAGGAGCAAAAGUUAUAAAGACACUUCAUCUAACACUUCAUCUAACAGAUUUUGCUUGUAUAAGGCCAAAUUCUGCAGAAAGUGAUAAUAGACUACAUAAAUUUCAACAGCUCUACAAGGUUUCAUGCAGCAUAUCAGAUGUGCAUCUAGCAGAAAAGUGAAAAAGAUUGGUAUUGUUUUGAAGGUAUGAUUGUUGAAAGUCCAACAACGACAAUCAGAGAUGAUGUACCACACCCACACCGCACUAUUUCUUAAAAAGAAUUUUCGAUCCGCACCACAACUGUGUAUAUCUGAACCUGCCCUGCCCCGCCUGCCAUCCCUAAUUAUUCACUUUGAACAGUGUCUAAACAACACCGGGAUUCUAAUUCCUAAUUUUCUGCUUUUUUCUUUUGAUAACUUGUACAGAGGGAGAGAUGGCUUUCUAUCUUUUACGAAGAGAUUUUUGAUAUGAUAGGUGGCAACUAGAGACAUAAAUGUUAAGGUAACAUAUCGCUACAUAUCACAUCACCUGCAGCAAUGUUUUGAACAAUGCCUUUUAUAUUUGUCAUUUUCUUAAAAGCCUUCAUCGUUUGCUAUAAUGUUGCAAAAGGAAUGAGUUAAUAUAAUUCUUUUGAUGAGUGUAGAACAAGUAUACUAAAGGACAUUACACUUAACUAAUGUUCCAUUUGAUGCUCAGAAGUCACAUUUUGUAACUCCCUGGUGUAGGCAAAGUGCAGUCGCUUAGGCGGAGCUUCAAUGCCUCUCAGGAUCCCUUUAGUAGGGCGGAGACUAAACAAUGAAUAUAGCAGGGAAAGUGACAUAUUAAUUGUUAAAAGAACGUUAUGAAUGAAUAUGUUAGUGAUUAAGAAUUAAAAUUAGGAAUUUAGCAUACGAAAAUUAGUCACCAACCCAAAAUAAAAAAUUAAAGUUACAUUUUUAUAUCUCGAUCAGAAAUUAAAGUAACAUUUUGAUUGACAAGCUUUUUACUUCAUAUAUUUCAGUUAAUUGUAUUAUUUUAUAUCUGUUCUUCAACCAAUUGUUUUUUGUGUUUUUAGUUACCUUUUCUUGAAUUACCCUUUCUUCUUCAUUGAGUCUUUAUUCACUCAAAUCCACGCUUUAGUUGCACUUUGAGCUUAGAGACUCAGCAAACGUUGGCAUUUUCUACUCUCUGUCUUUGAUAACUAUCAAUAACAUUGAUUGUUGAACUACGUUCUUUGCUUGACAACCUCCUAUUAUAAUUUUCAUAUUAGAAGGGCAGCCCGGUGCACUAAAGCUCCCGCUAUGUAAAGGGUCCGGGGAAGGGCCGGACCACAAGGGACUACUGUAAUUAUAUUUAAUUUAGUGUUAUGGUCAAUUGAGAUCAUCUUGUUCUUCUUUUUUGAACUUUUCAUAAAGCUAUUGUACCCUUGGCAUCAUCAAAGUGGCAUCUCAAUAACAUAACAUCAGCUUAAGCUUAACUUUCUAUCAACUUACUUGCUAUUUUUAGUCUGACAUCUGAAGUACUUCAGGAUACAGAAAUAAACAAGAGCUAUCUACCAACUAUUUCCUAUAGAAUGACAUACAUUAACUAAGCGGGAAAAAAGACUUUACCUCUGUAUAAGCAUAAACUCCAUCCUCCGUAGAUCCCAAGGGACUUCCUCUCCUGAUGAAUUGAUUUUCUCUAUAUAUGUAAAGCAUUGGCACUCCAGUUGAGAGUUCUAAGUGGAUGACCUGUUACCAAAGACCUAUGCAUAACCAACUAACAUACAUGCACUGAAAAUGUGUGAUACUAACAGGAAAAUGACAAUACUCAUUACCUCCUCAGCAGUCAAUUUAUCGAGAUACAUUAGGAUGGACCUCAAUGAAUUUGCAUGAGCUACUACCAUUACAUUCUUUCCACUGGAAAGUUGGGGUUCAAUCUGCAAGUAAAUGCUCAGUAAUGAGAGAACAAGAUAUCAAGCCCUGCGUCAAUAGAAACUAGUCUCCUCUAUAUGCUUUUUAUAAGUCACAGCAGCUUACUUGCUCUUUAAAAUAGGUAACAGCUCUUCGCAAGCACAUUUCCAAGCUCUCACCGUUGGGUGGUCGAGCAUCAUAGCUUCGGCGCCAUUUAUAGACUUGCUCUUUUCCGCAUCUUUCAGCUGUUUCCAGCUUAUUAAACCCUUGAAGUUCCCCGUACCUAUAAAAUAAUAACAUCCUACUGAAUCUGGGAUGACAUCAUAUUGGAAUAGAAACAAAAUGAGAGCUGUUAAAUUACAUUCUUUCAUUCAGUUGCCAUGCUUUAAUAACAGGAACAGACUGCAUCUCGGUGCCUUCACUAUAAAUUUGACUCCAUACUUUGGCUUGUUCAGUCUCAUCGUGUACAAUAAUGGGCACCUGAAAAUUCAAGAAGGAUAAGUGCUUAUAUACAGUGGCCUUUUCUUAGAUAAAUUUGAUAUCAUCUGCACAUUAUAUUGGUGACAUACGAACAAAAGAGCAUGCAAUCUUUGGUAUACCAACCUUCCAGUAAUAUGGAGACAAUUUACACUACAAUCAGGAGGGAGCCUCAUUUCUUGAAUCUCAUGGAAAGAUUUAAUGUAAUUUUUGCAAUAAAGAUGCAUUUUUUAUUUCCUGAAUUGUUUUUUGGAUGCUAAAUCCUGUUUGACCGUCAUCCAUGUCUUACAGCAUGACAAAAAAACAUAUAAAGGUAACAAUAAGCCAUAGAUAACGGAUAAGUGAUAACCAAGAAAGAGACUUUUCUAGAUAGGAUAACAUUAUCCAGGAAGCAGGAAGAACAUUUCUUGCAACACAACAAACAGAAAGGCUUAUUUGUUUAUGAAGCUCAGGAUAAUCUUAUUUCACAUUGCUAAUUCAUGCUGUAUCUAUACUUUUUUAAACCUGUCCUCAUGAAUUCUGAUUUAUGAAUCAGGAAUAUUAGCAUAAAGCAGGCCAAAUGAUUGGAAAUAAUUAGCAAACAAAUUUAACAAUUGAUAAGGGGAACUUUCUCCAGAAUGGUUCACCAAGAAAAGGACAAGUUUUGAUAUGCAUAUGACAGAUCAUAAGGGGACUUGACAUAGCAUAAGAGCAGACAGCACUAGGACAGCUGUAAUUGUUCCAACUGUACAUGAAGUUAUUCAAACUAAAAAGUAAAUUCAAGAAUAUUUUUAGUGCUACCCUAAGUCAUUUCAGAGACUUGCACUAGUUAGCAGGACCAUGCUUCAAAAAAACAAGUUUUUUCGAAGACCAAAAUGCAGAAGUACCUUCUUGCAGUGGUGCUCUGUUAGGGCAAGCAUGGCUGUCAUCUGAGAACGAAUCAAUGCAGAGAUGUAGACAACAUCAAUGGGUAAGUGUCUAAUUCUCUUACCGGCUUCAAUUGCUUCAUCAACGCCUUUAGUGGUGAGUGGCACAUCUACACAACCAGUGAACAGGUUCUUUUCAUUCCACAUUGAUUCUCCAUGCCGUAUUAAGAUCAAGUAUGAUUCAGCUGCAGGGAAUAAGGCCUUAAAUAGGACAAGAUCACAAACUAGAAUCCAGAUACCAAAACGAAUAACGAGAACUCACUUUUUGAUAGAUGAUAACAAGAAUUACUGGGAAGGAGUGUACUCACGUACUGUUCUCCGUGAAUCAUUGGUACUUGAUAAUGAGGAGAAAAUUGGCUUAAUAGCACAUAAAGGUGACUCUGAUGAAUACUUCACACAGUUUACAUACUGCCUCAAACUGCAUCUCUCUUUUCUAAACACUGGUUUCAUUUUAAGACUCCCAGAUGAAGAUGUGACCAGGAAGUCCCUAGCACCCUCGUUGGCAGUGAAGCAUAUUGCUUGGUGAUAUGCAGCAGCAACCAUAUUGAGUAUAAAGUUAUCCCAACUAAGCACCAUAAAAGAAAACAAAAGGAAACUGAAUAGACAUCCCCACAGUGUUCAGCAAAAUUUCACAAACAAAGAAAGAACUGCAUAUCAUACAUACUGAUAACUAAUUGUCGGAUAAGUUAAUAGACCAUUUUAAAAAAGGAAAAAAUAUUCUAAUAAGUUUAUGAUCAACUAGUACAAACAAAUUAAUGGAUAGCUAACAAUAAACUUUUCAAAAAAAUAACUUUACAUCAGAAAUGUGUUAUCAUAAAUUCUAUCAAGCUGAUCAUACAUGUUCACAUUCAUGUAACUAAGAGAAAAAAGGGGUAAAGGUCCCGCUAUGCACUGGUUCAGGGCAGAACCACAAGGGUUCUGCUAUACACAGGACCUCAACACCAACUAUAAUCAUUCCAAAUCAAGAAUGUGCUCAAAGGGCACAUGAUGCUACAUGGAGUAGAGACAUUUCCUAUUUAAGGAUAUUAAGCAGAACCUUAAACAGAUGGAUUAAAAGAGGAGAAAAAGAUGGAAUCUUGAUUUUAAAUGAGAGUUGACAAAAAGAUGAUCUUUACCUCUUUGUGAUCAAACUUCACCUUUCAACAACUGUGUAAUCAAACGAAUGCAGACACAGAAGAAGCUCAUACAUGUGAACGCGGAGAUCUCAAAGAAUGGCUGCCGGAGGUUGCUGUCAGUCUGUCACAGUCAGAUGCGACGCCGUUUCAUACCUGAAGGGCUUUGUUCAAGUUGGGCUUCGAUUAGGCUAAUUUUUCACAAAUAUGAUCUUUUACUUGAGUAGCCGUUCUAUUACAGCCCUUUAGCAAUGUAGCCUAUUAACUAAUUCUAAUUAACAAUGAACCAAUAAUAAAAGAAGGAAAUUUCAAAAACAGCUAAGACUAGAAACACAAUCAGGCUUCGUAGCUAUCUAUUGUUUUCUUAAUUAUGAUUUGUAGAUACAUCUUAUAAGAAGGAAAGACGUGAACAAGAUUGGGAGAAAGGGGAGAGAGUCAAGCAUGAACGGGGAGGGAGAUACUAUUGAUCUAAUUGUACCAUGAAUACAAUUAAUCUAAUUGUAUCAUGAAUACAAUUGAUCUAAUUGUAUCAUGAAUACAAUUGAUUUGUAUAACAAAACAAGCUACUAAAAAGGUGGAGAGAGAAGAGUGAGAUUGGGUGAGGGAUGAUAGAGGCAAGCGAAAUCUGGGAGAGAGAGAUACAAUUGAUUUGUAUAUUUGAUCAAUAAUUGUAUAUCUGACCGAUAAUUGUAUCAUGAAUACAAUUGAUACAACUGAUUUGUAUCACGAAUACAAUUGUAUUAAAACCUAGUGUAUUCAAUUUGUUGAUGAAAAUCAAUUGUAUCAGGGAUAUUAACGAAUACAAUUUGUAUCGUUGUUGUAAUUGGUAACAAAUUGUAUUUGUAUUCACAAGUUACCUUGUGUAUUGUAUUUAGGAGUUACCAUUUGUCUUUGUAUCAUUGAGUGUUGCCAUGUAUAUUUGUAUUGCAGGGAGAUAGAGAGGAAGAGGCGAGAGAGAAGAGAGGGAGGAGAGAAGCGAGCGAGAGAGGCAAGAGAGGGGAGAGAGGGCAAAAAGAGAGAGGUGAGAGGGGAGAGAGGGCAUUAGCAUAGAUAUAUUUAUAAAGCAAUAGUUGUGAAUAGUAAUCCAAACUAUAGUGAUGUAUAGUAAAUACAUACCAUAUGUUUAUUGUACUACAUAAUUUUUCCUAAAUAAGAGGGCAUCAUGUGGUCUAGUGGAUUGAGUUCCUCCCUUAAUCAAACAUUCCAGUUUCAAGUCUUGAGCAUGAAAUUGUUUUGGAUAGAAAGCUCUAUCUGGCAUGAAUUUGAAUUAAUAUCAAUAUGAAUAUCAAACAACAAAUGAGAAUUCAAAAACAAAAAGCCAAGUUAUACUUGGAUGAUCGGUCAAAAUAAUUACUAGCCUAAUGUAUCAAAAACUAUAAAUUAUUUUGUAUCAAAUAUAUAUAUAUAUAUAUAUAUAUAUAUAUUAAAUAUUUGUUGGCUAUUAUUUUGAUCAACUACAUAAUGUUAAAUGUAGAUUGUAUCUUUCCCUAAUAAAAAAUAUCAGCGCUAAACUUUCACCAAAUUUUAUCAUGAUACUCAUCCUAAUUAGUAUAUAAUCCUUGAAGGACUUUUGAAAUGCAACGAGUAAAAUAUGAAAAAUGAAAAAAAAUACCUAUCGAAGCAAACAUAGUUAUUAUAUCUACUGAACUUAGCUAUAUUUAAACAUACCUAUCUAAGUCUCUAAUAGUGUAUUGAUAGUUAGUUAUAGAUAUGCAUUAGUUUGAAUUUUGAAUUGAAAAGAUAUGGUAAACAGUUUGUCUCGUAUAGGACUCUUCUAGGUAUAGAAUUUGUGUCCUUGUAGGAGUUAACCACAUCGGUUGUUCCUGCACUUUGUAUCUAUAAAAAGAGCGUCUUGCUCUUUCAUUAUGAAUUUGAUCGAUACUCUACUUUAUCAAUUUAUCAUGGUAUCAGAGCAUCAAUAAACAAUAACAAAAUAAUAAUGACGGGGAACGAUAAUGAAGUAGCCAAUUCUCCAUACACGUUGCAGCCAACUGAUAACCCUGGAGUGUCUCUGGUCACAUGUUUACUCACACAAGAUAACUAUUUGACAUGGCGGAGGGCCAUGAGAAAUGCCUUGUUGGCUAAGUCAAAGUUAGGCUUUGUUGAUGGUAGUCUUCCGCGACCAACAACAAGCUCUACAAACGAAGGUGCCUGGAUUAAGGGAAAUUUCAUGGUAAUAUCUUGGAUUUUUAACUCUCUUCAUCCCUCACUUCACAGUAGUGUAGCUUUUUUUUUAUACAGCAGGUGAACUUUGGCAAGAUUUAAAGGAGAGAUUUUCACAAGGGAAUGCUUCUCGAGUUCACCAGUUGAAAAUGGAGUUCGUGAAUACACAACAGCAGGAUCAAACAAUGAGUGUUUACUACACCAAAUUGAAGGGAUUAUGGGAUGAGUAUGGAUCGUAUUGUCAGUUUUCAAACUGCAGUUGUGGUGCCAUUAAGGAAUAUGAAGCAGAAAGGGAAAAAGAGAAGGUUCAUUAGUUUUGGGAUUGAAUAAGAAAUUUAAUGUUGUUCGAUCUCAGAUUUUAAAUACUGAACCAUUACCAUCUCUAGCCCGUGUGUAUGGACUAGUUUCACAGGAAGAACGACAACAACAACUCACUACAAGCAAAGGAAAUAAUUUAUUGGAGGGGGCGACAUUUGCUUCAAAGAGAAACACCAAUACUUUCAAUUCUCAUCAAUUGUCAGGUAACCGUGAUGUCUCUAAACUAUUUUGUGAUCACUGUAAACAGUGGAGACACACCAAGGACAAAUGUUUUGAACUAAAUGACUAUCCAGAUUGGUGAAAAAACAAUAGAAAAGAAAAGGGUAAGUCAUCUAAUUCCAGUCGAACAUUAGAAGUUGAACGUGUGGAUUACUCCCUAAUAAGUGGUUUAUCAAAAGAACAAUAUAACCAGCUUAUGUCUCUUUUAAGCCUUGAAAACUCCAAGGGUAUCGAUUCAAUGGCUAAUUUUGCUGGUAAGGCUGUUACUUUUCCUGUCGCUUAUUAUGAAUGGAUAUUAGAUUCGGGAGCGUCUGAUCAUAUGACUUGUCAGAAGAAUUCUCUGUCAAAUGAAAGAAAGCUUCUCUUUGAUUCUAAUAUAACUAUUCCUGAUGGUUCAUCUGUUACUACUAAUACUUGUGGAGACGUGACUCUUAAUUCUUCAAUAACCUUAAAUCAUGGUUUACAUGUACCAAUGUUUGGCUGCAAUCUUAUUUCUAUCAGUAAGUUGACACAAUCAUUAAAUUGUGUUGCUAAUUUUUUCCCUUCCUUUUGUGUUCUGCGGGACUUAGCCAUGAGGAAGCUGAUUGGCAUGGGUAAACUGAAGAAUAGCUUUUAUUAUUUCCAAAGUCAAGCACUAGUUUCAGCUCUUUUGUCAAAUAAAGACCAAACUAUUUUGUGGCAUCAAUGUCUUGGUCAUGUAUCUUUUAGUCGUUUGUCUUUCAUUUCAGAACUUCAGUUUUUUAAUUUCAAUAAGUUAGAUGAUUAUUGUGAUGCUUGCCACCGAGCUAAGCAAAUUUGGAAGUCAUUUCCUGUUAGUUCUAUUAAAUCUAAUGAAGCUUUUGAUUUGAUUCAUUGUGAUUUAUGGGGUCCCUAUCAUUCACCUUCUUUGUCAAAGUCUCAUUAUUUCUUGACCAUCGUGGAUGAUUUAACUAGAACUACUUGGGUGUAUUUGCUUAAGUCUAAAACUGAAGUUUCUCAUUUAUUGAUUUCCUUUCUUGCAAUGGUACAAAGACAAUUUAAUCGUCUUGUUAAAAUCAUUCGCAGUGACAACGGCACAGAGUUUACUAAUAGUUCACUUCAACAAUGUUGUCGGGAAGAAGGAAUUCUAAAUCAGUUUUCUUGUAUCUCCGCACCCCAACAAAAUGGUGUAGUAAAACGUAAACAUCGACAUUUACUUGAUGUAGCUAGAUCCUUAAGGUUUCAUGCUGGUUUACCAAUAAAAUUUUGGGGAGAGUGUGUUCUAACAACAACUUAUUUAAUUAAUUACACACCAAUACCUCUUUUAUCUGGAAAAAGUCCAUAUGAGUUGUUGUUUUCCUCAAAACCUUCUUAUGCACAUUUACGUGUUUUUGGAUGUCUCUGUUAUGCUUCAGUUAUUCCACGAUCUCGUGAUAAAUUUCAUGAUAAAGCCAAACCUUGUAUUUUUCUGGGUUAUCCAUAUGGUCAUAAAGGUUAUAAGGUCUUUGAUCUAAAAACACAUCAAGUAUUUGUUUCUCGUGAUGUGAUUUUUCAUGAAAGAGUUUUUCCUUAUAAAGAAAAUACUCUUUCUUCUCUUAAAAAGCAAUCACGAGUACCUUUACCAUUGUCAAUUGAUGAUCCUGAUCAAACCUUUUUAAGCCAAGGUCCACCACAAGAAAAUCUCAAUCUAGGCACAAUACACCCAAAUAUGGCUCUAAGUGACACCAUAAAUCUUCAACAAUCACAAGAUCAGAUUAUUGAACCAUCAAGAACACCUAUUGUUCUAACUCGACCUCAACGCACCAAAACCCAACCAGCUCAUCUUAAAGAUUUUCUAGUCAAUCUCCCAAACAAUAAUAAAAGUUCUUCUUCAGGCUCAUCCAACACAGCUUGCUCAGGUAUUGGUUCAGCUUAUCCUUUAUGUCACUAUGUUUCCUACUCCAAUUUUUCCACGGCUCAUACAUGUUUUCUUUCGGCCAUUACCCACCAUAAUGAGCCAACAUCUUACAAACAAGCAGUACAGGUGGAACACUGGAAGCAGGCCAUGAGAAAAGAGCUAGAAGCACCUGAACAACACCACACAUGGACCUUAGAACAUCUCCCAGUAGAUAAAAGAGCUAUUGGUUGUAAAUGAGUCUACAAAAUUAAGUUUAACUCUGAUGGAUCAAUUGAGCGAUAUAAGGCGCGCCAUGUCGCUAAAGGCUACAACCAAGUAGAAGGUUUAGAUUAUAAUGAAAUGUUUGCUCCAGUUGCUAAACUUACUACAGUUCGUACAUUUUUAGUUGUUGCAGUUGUGCGAAAUUGGGAUCUCCAUCAACUGGAUGUGCAUAAUGCUUUUAUUCAUGGAGAUUUACAUGAAGAAGUUUACAUGCAACCACCACCUGGAUAUUUGUCGGCCGAAUUUAAUAGAGUUUGUCGCCUUCGACGGUCACUUUAUGGAUUAAAGUAGGCCUCAAGGCAGUGAUUUGCUAAGUUUUCUACUGCUAUUUUAAGGUUUGGAUUUAGACAAUCCAAGGCUGACACUUCUUUAUUUUUAUAUCGACAAGGAAAUUCUUUUGCAGCUAUUCUUGUAUAUGUAGAUGAUGUGAUCGUUGCCACCAAUGAUUCAUUCAAUUUGAAAGCUUUAAAGGGCUACUUAGCAUCCUGGUUUCCUAUAAAGGAUUUGGGUCCUCUAAAGUAUUUCUUAGUCUAGAAGUUGCUCGCAGUUCAGAAGGAAUAGUUCUUUCACAGCGUAAAUGCGCGCUGGAUAUUUUAAAAGAAACGGGCAUGCUGGGAUCUAAACCAGUGAAAUUUCCCAUGGAGCAGCAUCACCGUUUAGCUUUGGAUGAAAGUUCUCCUCUGCAGGAUCAUGGGCCCUUUCGCAGAUUGGUUGGGAGGCUGAUUUAUCUAUUCGUUACUAGACCUGAUAUUUGUUAUUCAGUUCAUUUGUUGUCUCAAUUCAUGUACCAGCCUCGACAGAAUCAUUGGGUAGUUGCCCUCUGAAUGUUGCGUUAUUUAAAGCUUGCACCAGGCCAAGGUAUUUCCUUUCCUUAUCAAGUCCUUUAUCUAUAAAAGGAUUUUGUGAUUAAGAUUGGGCAAGUUGUCCACUCACCCGUCGUUCAACCAGUGGGUAUAUCAUAUUUCUUGGUCAUUCACCUAUUUCAUGGAAGAGCAAGAAACAGAUAACAAUGUCACGUUCUUCUGCUGAAGCAGAAUAUCGUUCAAUGACAACAACUUCUUGUGAGAUCAUUUGGAUACACCAAUUACUUUCAGACUAAUAUGUCCCUUGUUUGGAUCCAGUUUCUUUAUAUCAUAAUAGGCAAGCCGCACGUCAUAUUGCCAACAACCUAGUUUAUCAUGAACGAACUAAGCACAUUGAGGUGGACUGUCAUUUUGUUCGGACUGUAUUCAACGGGGUUUGUUGGUUUGUCAUCACAUUUCAACACAACAUCAACUUGCUGAUGAUUUUACUAAAGCUUUAGGUGCGCACCGGUUUCAAAUAUUAAUUGCCAAGUUGGGCAUUCGGGACCUCCACGCUCCAACUUGAGGGGGUGUAAUAGUGUAUUGGUAGUUAGUUAUAGAUAUGCAUUAGUUUGAAUUUUGAAUUGAAAAGAUUUGGUAUACAGUUUGUCUCGUAUUAGACUCUUCUAGGUAUAGAAUUUGUGUCCUUGUAGGAGUUAACCACAUCGGUUGUUCCUGUACUUUGUAUCUAUAAAAAGAGCGUCUUGCUCUUUCAUUAUGAAUUUGAUCGAUACUCUGUUUUACCAAUUUAUCAGUCUCGUUAACAAGCUCAUGAAGAGUAAAAAAAGAAAUGCAUCUCCAAGGUGAAGAGGACUCACUUAAAUGGUACUAGUGACUUUGAAUUUUUUUAUCAGAUGAAAGCAGUUGAAAAAUUGCUUCAUUGCUUGGCUACACUGAUAAUGACUACUGAAAAUAUUGAAGACAAAAAAAUAAUAAUUACCAGGAUAUGUUUGUAUGUUGGGGUGUAUAAUUAUUUCUUGAUCUUCAAAGAAGCAAUCUAUUGCUACUCUCUCGACUACUGUGGCAGAGUACAUCACUUCAACAUUAUGUGCUUGUCAAGCUAUUUGGUUGAAGAAUUUCAUUUUAAGCAGGAAAAAUUAACAUCAAUUUAUUGUGACAGUACUUCAGCGAUUAAUAUUUCAAAAAAUUCAAUUGAAUAUGAACGAAAUAAGCAUAUAGAUGUAAAGUAGUACUUCUUUAUGUGAUCUAACUAAAAAUACAAAAAUUGGUCUUAUUUGUUGCUGAAGUGAAAAGCAGGUUGCAAACAUGUUUACAAAUCCCCUAAAAUCAGUGUCCUCCCUAAAGCUACAUGAUCAGGCUGCAGACAUGUUGAUAAAGCCCCUAAAAUCAGUGUUCUUCCUAAAACAAUGUGAUCAACUUGGUGUUUGCAAAUUAAACUAAAGAUAUUUCAGUUUAAAGGAGGGAAUGUUGACAACGUAAUCAGCUUUGUGAAUUAGUAGUUAGCUUGCUCAAUGAGUUAUUUCCUAGUCUUUAGGUUAGGAGACUAGUGCAAUCAGUUUUUAGAUUCGUUUUUUUUUUUUUUUUAAGUAUAAACAUGUGCUUUGAUUACUAAAUUUUCUAGUAAAGAACUCUUAUAACAACAUAUUUUGAAGUAUCAACAUAAAACACUUUCACUUGCAUAUUACUUUCAUUUUGUUGCUAUUAAUUUCUAUAAUUUUAAACUUCAGGCCUCAUGGGUAGGAUAGGAAGAAUGUGUCUAUAUUAUCUAUUUUGCUUGCUUGCUUCUUAUCGGAGUUAAGAUUGAUUCCAUUAUGAAUCCCACAAGCAAUACCAUGUUACAUAUGGAAGUACUUAGACAUUAUUAUGCUUUUUUAUGAAGCAAUAUUAAAUACUAUCAAAGCUCCAACAAAUUACUCUUUUAUUAUAUUUAAAACAAACUUGAAGUAUAAGACUAUUGACUAGCAGCAAGAAAAUCAAUCAAGCCACAAUUUAAGCAUUAGUAAUAAUUUUAAUGAGCCAUUAAAUUUUCCUCAUAUACUACUAAAAGGAAACUUGGAAGUUGAACAUCCAGAAAACAAUAACAAAGAGAAUAGAAGUAUCAAUUUUGAUGCCUAAAGCAUCAUAAUCAUCAAACAUCAUAAUAAUAAUCC
Molecule: long non-coding RNA, 84412 nt
Filed under: Solanum tuberosum (potato)
Lineage: Eukaryota; Viridiplantae; Streptophyta; Magnoliopsida; Solanales; Solanaceae
Description: long non-coding RNA (STUB_LNC004919)
Source: RNAcentral